RNAcentral lists this long non-coding RNA (47697 nucleotides) under Sorghum bicolor (sorghum). Its description in RNAcentral is "long non-coding RNA (SBIC_LNC009612)". The record is from RNAcentral. Lineage: Eukaryota; Viridiplantae; Streptophyta; Magnoliopsida; Poales; Poaceae.
AUGGGUUGCUGCCACAACAAGGAAGGGUUCAUGAAAGACAUCUGGUUGAAUGGCAGCAAUUGUUGUUGCUGUAGGAAGGUGGCCGCCAAUGGGUUAGCCAGUGCCAAUGGGUUAACCUGUAGCAGCUGUUGUUGCUGGUGGUAGGUGGCAGCGGUUGCAACAGCCGACUGAGCAAAUGGAAGUGACUGUGGCUGUUGUAGGUAUGCAGCGGCGUUCGACACAGCUAGUUGGUUGAAUGGAAGUAGCUGUUGCUGUUGAAAGUAGGCGAUAGGGUUCACCACGGACUGUUGUAACUGUUGUUGUUGUUGUAGGUAUGCAAUGGCAUUCACCGCAGCCAGUGGGUUUGUAGGAAGUAGCUGUUGCAGCUGCAAGUAGGUGGCAGGGUUUGGAAUAGCUAGUUGACUGAGCGCUGGUAGGAACUGUUGUUGUUGUAGUUGCGCUACAAUGGUCUGUACUAGUAGGUGAGCCGAGGAUUGCUGUUGCAAUUGGGCAAUUGAUUGUUGUAAGAUGCUCGCCGCGAGCACUUGUUGUAGCCGAUAGGCCUGCACAACUGGGUGUUCAUACCCAACAGCAGUAACUGGUGAGCACUGCGGAAUGAUGAACGCACUUGUAGCACUCACCGUGAGAGCAAGGAGUGCAAGGAGGGCAAAUAUCUUGGCAGCCAUUGUUUCUAAGAUGUUGCUAGUGCGUUUCACUUGGCAACUUUCUAAUUGCUCUCAAUGAUAUGGGUGGUGGAUUAGCUAUCGAUUUGGGCCAAUUUAUACAAGUGAGAGUUCAUGCAUAUCUAUUCAGAUCUCGGAGUUUACUAAAAAAUAGAUGAGCAUGAGAUGACAUGGCACCUAGUCAACUUCGGUGCUUAGUUAUCUAUUUUGUUGGAUUAUAUGGUAUGUGUUGGCAAGAUAGUGUCGAUUAUGUGCUAGGAAAAAGUGCCCUUUUCUAUAGGAGUUCUCUAGAUACACGAGGAAUGGCAUACAUGAUAACUUCACCUUUAUGCAUGACAAAGCCUUAGCCACAUCAUAUUUGUUAGACUUUAUAAACAUGAUGAGUAUGUAAAAUUAUGAUUUGCUCAUGUGAAUCGAAGCCUUUAUCAACAGAGUUUGUUGUAGCAUCGUCCUUAUGGUUGAAGUAUACAAUGUAAUUAUGUGAGAAGUUAUCAACCAGCGAAUGAUCAAUAAUGCUGCAAGGCCACGACUCAUUGAAGUCUCAGUAUGUCUAAAAUGCAUGCGCAUGCAAAGAAUCUAAAAAAUUGGCAUGCGCAUGCUCAUUACUAUCUUGGCCACUACCACAUACUCCCUUUGUUCUGGAGCACAAUUUAGUUUAUUUUUGUGUAAAAGCAAGCUUGUCUAACUUUGAAAAAGUUUUACAUUAGUUUUAACAACAAAAAUGCACUAUCAAGACAUAAUGACAUAUGCAACGAAACAAAGUGAUGUUCAAGGUUUUUGGUAAAUUUCUAUGAAAUAUGUCAAAGUUAGGUAAGAUUACCUUAGGGAAAAGAUAGAGCAAGUAAUAAAUUGGAGCGGAGGAGGUAUAUGUUGAACUCUACCUCUUGACUCAAAUAGAUGUGCAUCUAAUUUUCACUAAAGUCAAACUUAAAUUAUUUCCAUAUAGUAAGGAGAAUGAUAAAUUUGAUGCGGCUUUUGUUCCUUCCACCACCUAUGAUAUGAAUCUGCCUUCAAUAUACAGGUGAAGAGGAUAAUAGCCAACCUCGUAGCUAUUCGAAACAAAUAUCUCUUUGUGCUCAAAGGCAUAGAUCCAUUCAAGAAUAAAAACAACAUGGCCAUUGACAUAAACCUUGCUCAGCUAUGCUACAAAAACUCAAGAUAAAGGAGACUGAGAUGGGUGUUGUGUUGAUUUUUUAGGAGAAACACUAUAACAUCUGGACUUGGAAGUUUCAUGAAAACACACUCCUUCAUAUUCGUUUUCACUAGAACAAUGAGCACAUUGGUACACAUAAUUAAUUCCUUGGAGUUGACUCAAAUAUAUUUUAGAUUUUGUUUCACAUGAGUAGAAUCUCGUCCGAAAGAAUUUGGGGAACAUUGGGAUAAUAACCGUAAUCGCUAGGACUAGACAACAAGUUUAGGCUAAGGAAAUCUAAAAUGGCUGAAGACAUUUAAAAAUAAUAACUUCUAUUGACACAAAAUUAGAGUGAGACCAAUAAAAUCUUCAUGGCUUGAUUUACUAUUCCUUGUUCAUUUAUAAAGGAAUGUAUUUCAUGUUUCUACAAUAAUUUGCUUUAUGGGUGCUCACAUAGAUAUGAUAAGAUAUCUUUUCAACUUUUAUAUGACAUGCGAGUUAAGGUUACAUUGAUGACAGUGUUACAAACUACCUCUAGUAAACUAUCUUGUAGGUAAUAAACUUGUUCAUUUGUUUAGUUUUAACAUUUUAGAACAUGAACGUUUUCACAUUCAACACAUAGAUGCAAACUGCAAUCCAUUGAACUAAUCUAGGUGUCAUAAUGGCACUCUAUGUGGGUUCUCUCUGCAGAACAGCAGAAUGACGGUGGAUGGUUGGUACUUUAAUCUCGGGACAUUACUUUUGGGUUUUGAUAGCUCCACUCUAAAUCAUAUUUUACUAGGUACGGUGUCCAUCAGAAAAGAUCCUAUCUUUCAUAAUGCUACCUAGCAAAAAUGUGAGCUACAAUGUUGAGCAGUCAAUUUGACGUAGGUUUGAUGUCCCUCUGUAAAAUUGUCUCUGGCAUAUUCUUGGGAUAUUAAACUUCACGUUCAUGAUAAUUUUUUUUGGCAUCAAGUAUUAUACUUUGUUGUUAAUUGUUAAUGAUAGGGUCUAGUUGAUUUAAUGCCCUUGGCCUUGUCAAGUUCGUGGGCUCCAAUUAUUUCCUUAUUUUUCUACAAUAUUAUGGAGUCUUGCAUAAUUUUGCUCCAAGAUAAAAACAUAUGCACCAAAUAUUUACUAGAAACAAUAAUUAAGAGGUGUGACUUUGCAUAUCAACUUUGCACGCAUAUAUACGUUUACUCAUGAAUUUCUAUUAUGUUUUCCUUUGUGUACAUGUAUCUGACUUCAAAGAUAUUCGUCAAAGCAUAUGUGGCCAUGACUUUCUUAAAACAAGAUAUUGUAGAUGCAAGUACUCAACUCCACGCAAGUACUCAACUCCACGCAAGUACUCAACUCCACGCACAUACAGUCACAUCUAUAUAUCUCACAAACACCCACACACAGUACCAAAUGAGAAAAUUCAAGGGGGUUGGCUGGCACAUCUUGAUAUUGACAAUGUAAUGUCGUAUUGUCUACGUAUUAAUCAAGCAUUUGGCUGUAAUUAUGGUUCAUUUUUUAAUUGAUUAUAUACAAAGAAGAAAAUUACGGAAUAGACUCAGAUAAAUCUCAAUCAAUGUAUUGAUUAUUUGUGAGAAGUUGCACACGCUGAUACAAGAACAUUGUUAUCAAGUACAACUCUUUUGUAUUCUAGAAGAUGGCACCUCCAACGAUGGGUUGCUGCCACAACAAGGAAGGGUUCUUAAAAGACAUCUGGUUGAAUGGCAGCAAUUGUUGUUGCUGCAGGAAGGCGGCAGCCAAUGGGUUAGCCAGUGCCAAUGGGUUAACCGGUAGCAGCUGCUGUUGCUGGUGGUAGGUGGCAGCGGUUGCAACAGCCGACUGGGCAAAUGGAAGCGGUUGUGGCUGUUGCAGGUAUGCAGCGGUGUUCGGCACAGCUAGUUGGUUGAAUGGAAGUAGCUGUUGCUGUUGUAAGUAGGCGGCAGGGUUUGCCACGACUAGUUGACUGAGCGCUGGCAGGAUCUGUUGUAACUGUUGUUGUUGUGGUAGGUAUGCAAUGGCAUUCGACGCAGCCAAUGGGUUUGUAGGAAGUAGUUGUUGCAGCUGCAAGUAGGCGGUAGGGUUCGGAAUAGCUAGUUGACUGAGCACUGGUAGGAACUGUCGUUGUUGUCGUUGCGCUACAAUGGUCUGUUCUAGUAGGUGAGCCGAGGAUUGCUGUUGCAAUUGGGCAAUUGGUUGUUGUAAGAUGCUCGCCGCGAGCACCUGUUGUAGCCGAUAGGCCUGCACAACUGGGUGUUCAUACCCCGUAGCAGUAAUCGGUGAGCACUGCGGAAUGAUGAACGCAGUUGUAGCACUCACUAAGAGAGCAAGGAGUGCAAGGAGGGCAAAUAUCUUGGCAGCCAUUAUUUGCUAGUGCGUUUCACUUGGCUUGUUUCUGAUUGCUCUCAAUGAUAUGGGUUGUGGAUUAGAUAUUGAUUUGGUCCUAUUUAUAUAAGUGAGAGUUCAUGCAUAUCUAUUCAGAUCUCAGAGUUUACUAAAAAGCGGAUUAGCUUCAGAUGACAUGGCACCUAGUCAACUUCGGUGCUUAGUUAUCUAUUUUGUUGGAUUAUAUGGUAUGUGUUGGCAAGAUAGUGUCGACUAUGUGCUGUGAAAAAGUGCCCUUUUCUAUAGGAGUUCUCUAGAUACACGAGGAAUGACAUACAUGAUGACUUCACUUUUAAGCAUGACAAAGCCUUAGCCACAUCAUAUUUGUUAGACUUUAUAAACAUGAUAAGUAUGUAAAGUUAUGACUUGCUCAUGUGAAUCGAAGCCUUUAUCAAUAGACUUUGUUGUAGCAUCAUAGUUAUGGUUGAAGUAUACGUUGUAAUUAUGUGAGAAGUUGUCCAACAGCGAAUGAACAUUAAUGUUGCAAGGCCAUGGCUCAUUGAAGUCUCAGUACGUCCAAAAUGCAUGCACAUGCAAAGAAUGUAAAAAAUUUGCAUGCUCAUUACUAUCUUGGCCACUGCCACACACUCCCUUUGUUCUAGAGAACAAUUUAGUUUAUUUUUGUGUAAAAGCAAGCUUGUCUAACUUUGAAAUAGUUUUAAAUUUGUUUUAACAACAAAAAUGCACUAUCAAGACAUAUACAAUGAAGAAUUCAAUGAAACAAACUUGAUGUUCAAGGUUUUUGGUAAAUUUCUAUGAAAUAUGUCAAAGCUAGGUAAGUUUACCUUAGGGAAAAGCUAGAGCAAGUAAUAAAUUGGAGCGGAGGGGGUAUAUGUUGAACUCUACCUCUUGACUCAAAUAGAUGUGCAUCUAAUUUUCACUAAAGUCAAACUUAAAUUAUUUCCAUAUAGUAAGGAGAAUGAUAAAUUUGAUGCGGCUUUUGUUCCUUCCACCACCUAUGAUAUGAAUCUGCCUUCAAUAUACAGGUGAAGAGGAUAAUAGCCAACCUCGUAGCUAUUCGAAACAAAUAUCUCUUUGUGCUCAAAGGCAUAGAUCCAUUCAAGAAUAAAAACAACAUGGCCAUUGACAUAAACCUUGCUCAGCUAUGCUACAAAAACUCAAGAUAAAGGAGACUGAGAUGGGUGUUGUGUUGAUUUUUUAGGAGAAACACUAUAACAUCUGGACUUGGAAGUUUCAUGAAAACACACUCCUUCAUAUUCGUUUUCACUAGAACAAUGAGCACAUUGGUACACAUAAUUAAUUCCUUGGAGUUGACUCAAAUAUAUUUUAGAUUUUGUUUCACAUGAGUAGAAUCUCGUCCGAAAGAAUUUGGGGAACAUUGGGAUAAUAACCGUAAUCGCUAGGACUAGACAAUAAGUUUAGGCUAAGGAAAUCUAAAAUGGCUGAAGACAUUUAAAAAUAAUAACUUCUAUUGACACAAAAUUAGAGUGAGACCAAUAAAAUCUUCAUGGCUUGAUUUACUAUUCCUUGUUCAUUUAUAAAGGUAUAUAUUUCAUGAUACUACAAUAAUUUGCUCUAUGGGUGCUCACAUAAAUAUGAUAAGAUAUUUUUUCAACUUUUAUAUGACAUGCGAGUUAAGGUUACAUUGAUGAUAGUGUUACAAACUACCCCUAGUAAAUUAUCUUGUAGGUAAACUUGUUCAUUUGUUUAGUUUUAACAUUUUAGAACAUGAACGUUUUCACAUUCAACACUGUUGAUGGUGGUUAACGUCAACUUUCAUUAGAACUUUAAACCCAAAAGAAAACAUGAAAACACACCAGUCUAGGGUUUUAACUGACAAUUUCCACGAGUUUCGCAUAUUCUGUAUUUUCUAGGGUGAAUUUCAUGAAAGCCGAAAAGAGGGAUUCUAGUGCAAAAUAAACACGAAACUUAUCCACCACGGCAACAUCGCAAACGGGACGUGGGAAGACUCUGGAAGACACCCAAAGAGCCAGGGGGGCAGAGGCCGCCAGGUGGGGCCGGCCGGCCCCACCCUAGCGCCGGCCGGUGCCCUCUACAAGGGUUUCGGCCCCCCUUCUGGAAGCUUCCUCCAGGGCCUACGAUGAGUCAUCUUGGCCUUUGGUUAAAUCGGUUUGAUCCUGCGGCGCACGUCGAUCCAACCGGGAUAUAAAUAAAGUGGCAGACCCCCCUCCCUGAGGGCACCACAUUAUGGAGAUGUAGAGGCGUCCCUCGAAUGGAUGACCUCUCACCUCUAGAGAAUUAGGGCUAGACUUUCCAAUGUAGUAGAUUAGUUCUAGUUGAGAGUUAGCGAGAGCGGCGCUACGCCCGGGUUCUGGAGGAGUCUUCGGAGGAGUCAUCAGAGUUCUGGUAUAUCUUUGUAUCCUUGCUUUAAUAUAUUUUUUCUUCUCUAUUUACUUUUAUGCAUUACAUUUGAUUGGUUAGUAUAGUUGUUAUACUUUAGCAUAGGAUCUCCGCUCGCAUCGGGUGCUCUAAUUAUUAAUUGUGACUAGAGUAGUAGUUUGUAGUAGAGACAUGGUGUCUAGACUAUAGGUUACCUGAGAUUGCACCCAGUUCUACGGAUAGUUGUGGUAGCCCCAGGUGGUGACAGCCCUGACGGCCAACGUAUUCCACCACAUUUGGAUUGGUGUUGUAGGACCGUAGUCAGAUCAUCCUAGCCCCCUUCUCAUCUGUCUGUGGCUAAGUGCUCUGAUGUCCCGAAGUGUUAUUGUGUGAUUGCUUUACCUACCAUGAAUUAGUUAUUAUAGAACCCUAGUAAUAGAGAAGUAUUUGGGAACCUUAAACUCUCCCGUUGUUCUAUCACUUUAGCUAUCUACUCUUUUAUCAUAAGAAUUCUCGGGUGUGUGUCAUAUAUGCAUAAUUCCUAUCAUCGGUUACUUACCCCUACUUAAGUCUAGUUGGUGUAUUAGUUAGUAGAUACAUGAUGGUGAACUAUCAAUAUCUUUAUUCAUUGUUUCCCAGUGGUAAGAUAUAAAUAACGAUACCUGGAAUACUCCUAGUAAAAUGCUACAAUGGUUUUCUGCGCGCUUGCAGAAUCCUUCAUAUUUUAACUGUGCAUAAGAAAUACCAACAAACACCAAGAUGCAAACUGCAAUCCAUUGAACUAAUCUAGGUUUCAUAGUGGCACUCUAUGCGGGUUCUCUCUGUAGAACAGCGGUGGAUGGUUGGUACUUUAAUCUCAGGACAUUACUUUUGGGUUUUGAUAGCUCCACUCUAAAUCAUAUUUUACUGGGUACGGUGUCCAUCAGAAAAGAUCCCAUCUUUCAUAAUGCUACCUAGCAAAAAUGUGAGCUACAGUGUUGAGCAGUCAAUUUGACGCAGGUUUGGUGUCCCUCUGUAAAAUUGUCUCUGGCAUAUUCGUGGGAUAUUAAACUUCACGUUCAUGAUAAAUUAUUUUGGCAUCAAGUUUAAUACUUUGUUGCUAAUUGUUAAUGAUAAGGUGUAGUGUAUUUAGUGCCCUUGGCCUUGUCAAGUUCGUGGGCUCCAAUUAUUUCCUUAUUUUUCUACAAUAUUAUGGCGUCUUGCACAAUUUUGCUCCAAGAUAAAAACAUAUGCACCAAAUAUUUACUAGAAACAAUAAUUAAGAGGUAUGACUUUGCAUAUCAACUUUGCACGCAUAUAUAUGUUUACUCAUGAAUUUCUAUUAUGCUUUCCUUUGUGUACAUGUAUCUGACUUCAAAGAUAAUGGUCAAAGCAUAUGUGGCCAUGAUUUUCUUAAAACAAGAUACUAUAGAUGCAAGUACUCAACUCCAUGCACAUACAGUCACAUCUAUAUAUCUCACAAACACCCACGCACAGAACCAAAUGAGAACAUUCAAGGUUUGGCUGGCACAUCUUGAUAUUGACAAUGUAAUGUCGUAUUGUGUACGUAUUAAUAAAGCAUUUGGCUGUAAUUAUGGUUCAUUUUUAAUUGAUUAUAUACAAAGAAGAAAAUUAUGGAAUAGACUCAGAUAAAUCUCAAUCAAUGUAUUGAUUAUUUCCGAGAAGUUGCACACGCUGAUACAAGAAUAUUGUUAUCAAGUACAACUCUUUUGUAUUCUAGAAGAUGGCACCUCCAACGAUGGGUUGCUGCCACAACAAGGAAGGGUUCUUAAAAGACAUCUGGUUGAAUGGCAGCAAUUGUUGUUGCUGCAGGAAGGCGGCAGCCAAUGGGUUAGCCAGUGCCAAUGGGUUAACCGGUAGCAGCUGCUGUUGCUGGUGGUAGGUGGCAGCGGUUGCAACAGCCGACUGGGCAAAUGGAAGCGGUUGUGGCUGUUGCAGGUAUGCAGCGGUGUUCGGCACAGCUAGUUGGUUGAAUGGAAGUAGCUGUUGCUGUUGUAAGUAGGCGGCAGGGUUUGCCACGACUAGUUGACUGAGCGCUGGCAGGAUCUGUUGUAACUGUUGUUGUUGUGGUAGGUAUGCAAUGGCAUUCGACGCAGCCAAUGGGUUUGUAGGAAGUAGUUGUUGCAGCUGCAAGUAGGCGGUAGGGUUUGGAAUAGCUAGUUGACUAAACGCUGGUAGGAACUGUUGUUGUUGUAGUUGCGCUACAAUGGUCUGUACUAGUAGUUGAGCCGAGGAUUGCUGUUGCAAUUGGACAAUUGGUUGUUGUAAGAUGCUCGCCGUGAGCACCUGUUGUUGCCGAUAGGCCUGCACAAUUGGGUGUUCAUACCCCGCAGCAGUAACCGGUGAGCACUGCGGAAUGAUGAACGCACUUGUAGCACUCACUAGGAGAGCAAGGAGUGCAAGGAGGGCAAAUAUCUUGGGAGCCAUUGUUUCUAUGAUGUUGCUAGUGCGUUUCACUUGGCUUGUUUCUGAUUGCUCUCAAUGAUAUGGGUGGUGGAUUAGAUAUGGAUUUGGGCCUAUUUAUACAAGUGAGAGUUAAUGCAUAUCUAUUCAGAUCUCGGAGUUUACUAAAAAAAUGGAUGAGCUUCAAAUGACAUGGCACCUAGUCAACUUCGGUGCUUAGUUAUCUAUUUUGUUGGAUUAUAUGGUAUGUGUUGGCAAGAUAGUGUCGACUAUGUGCUGUGAAAAAGUGCCCUUUUCUAUAGGAGUUCUCUAGAUACAUGAGGAAUGACAUACAUGAUGACUUCACUUUUAUGCAUGACAAAGCCUUAGCUGCAUCAUAUUUGUUCUACUUUAUAAACAUGAUAAGCAUGUAAAGUUAUGACUUGCUCAUGUGAAUCAAAGUGUAAUGCCCUGGAUAGGAACACUACCGCCGAAGGCUUCCAACAACAUCUAAAUUUUAUUAUGUUUGCAAAUCAUUUAAAAUUUUGGCAGAGUUUCCCUAGUAUUUUGGGCAUCUAAACAGGUAAAUCACGUUACAAUGACGAUAUAAUCACCCAACAAUAUCUUGUUAAGCAUCCUAACCAACCAUUAAGCAACCUCUUGUUAAGCUAAACAUAUGUAAACUAGGUGUUUGUAUCAUGAAGGUGCUACUCCCGGUUCCCAUGCAUGCUGUUGUCAUUUGGUACCUAAAAACCAAAUAAACACAAGGGUGAGUAAAAACACUUGGUAAGUGCAAUUAGAACCGAAAGAAGAAAUUCAACGUUGUCCAUGAACAAAAUAUCAGAAUAUCCAUAGACAAUAGUUUAUGUGUGAAAUAGAUUAACUUGAAACCUUAGCAUUUACCGGUAAAGCCAAGCAAGUGGGGCCAACAUAAGAACCAAAUUGCACCUCCGGAUAAACAGGCACCAGAAUUGAAUGUAAAAGAAAUCAAGAAACUUGAACUUGAAUAUAAAAAGCAAAUUGCACAUGUGGAUCCACCGGAACAGGAAUUGAAUUUAAAGGAACAAUCGAAACUUGAAUUACAUAGCACACGUGAAACAACUAAAUCAAUUGAAAACUCAACAAUAGGCAUAAGCCCAUCCAUAGGUUCCUCAUGCACUUUCCUUAAGGGCUUGUUAAGUUUGGCGAGAAUCCAGCAUUCUUGCCACCCUCGGUAACAGCGCUUCCCAAACCUGAGGAGCAAACUGCCUUAGAAACUCAAUUAAACCUCUCAGUCGAACCCUAAUAUGUGAAUUCUCAUAUUUUUAGAAGACCCAAUAAAAUUUGAGUUCCUCGCUGCUUUGACCAUAACUCUCAAUUCUGUUAUCCAAAUUCAGCAAAUAAAUACAUGUCAGACAUGUACAGAAAAUUUUCUAUAAUUUGGUUUAGAAAUCCAGGACCAAUUCUGUCUCUGAAUACCUCGAAAAUAGAUCCCCAUUAGUCUAACGUUUUCUAUUCCUCCUCUUUCUUGCCUGUCACACCCCUCGCCGCCAACGCUUACGCCGUCGACGUGAGCGAUUAAGAGAUACAGAUCGGGCGAGGAACGCCGGCGAGGAAUCUUCCUCUGCCUUGCGUGUUCUAUUUUUCAAUGUCUGGAUGAUUGUUCCCCUCCACGGGUUGGGCACUUAUGUGCCAGAUACAGAGUUGGCCUUGGGCCCACAAGUCAUACACUAGAAUUGAAAACGUAAAACACAGCUACACUUCUUCUAUGCGAUGGUGUCUUCUUGGUAUUCUCUUUCUGCUAUUUCCCUUUGCCUCCGCGACGACAGUGGCCUCCCAGGAUCUACGCGCCAGCAGUAGCUAGCUAGCCUUGCUACUUCCCAGCAGCUUCACGUACUUAGCAGCACCAAGAUUAGAUGAAAGCAACUCACGGGAAAACAAUAACUAAAGUAGCAACUGAGAUACAGAAGCAAGGAUGCCUUUCUUUUUAUGAUCUAAAUUUAACGGUGGUUCCUCCUAAAUUCAUCCAACCUCCAGACAAAACAUGUUAGUAGUAAAAUGAAUUCGCUUCGACGAGAUCCACACAACCACGCACGGUGUCCGAUCGUCCAUAAGAUUCCCGGUUCAAAUACUCAAAAUUUGAUCAUCUCAUAGUGUCCGUUCGGUCAACUUAUUAAUUUUGUUUUGAAAAAUUCGGGAUAUUACACAAUGCCUUUAUCAACGGACUUUGUUGUAGCAUUGUAGAUCGUACUCAUCAUGGUUGAAGUAUAUACAGUAACUUCUUUUUAAAUUUGAGGAGACCUCCACCGGCUAUAGUGCAGUGUCUAUAUUGUAUUUCGGUUCCUCGUAUAUUACCAAAUUAUAUGUAGAUUGAUGGUUUGAGACUCUAAACAAUUUGAAAUCAAAAAGUUGUCAAGUCAACUAUAAAGUUUUAUAACUUUUAGAGAUCUAUAAUUUUUAUUUAGGGAGUUUCUCCAUCCGAGAUCGUUUACAAAAUUUGAAUUUCAAAUUUGAGAAAUUCAAACGUAGUUUUUGCAUGAUAAGAUGUUUUCAAAUGAAAAAUUUGUCAACUACAAAGUUUCAUAACUUUUUGAUAUCUACAAAGGUUACUUAGGGAGUUUUUUCAUCCGAGGUCAUUUGAAAAAUUCAAAUUUUCAAUUUUCAAAUAAAGACGCAGUUUUGCAUGACAAGAUGAACUCAAAUGAAAAAGUUGAUAACUACAAAGUUUCAUAACUUGCCGAUAUCUACAAAGUUUAUUUAGAGAGUUUUCCCAUCUGAGGUCAUUUCAAAAAUUUGAAUUUUAAAAUUUUUAAAUAAAUACAUAGUUUUGCAUGAGAAGAUGAACUCAAAUGGAAAAGUUGUCAACUACAAAAUUUCAUAACUUCUUAAGAUCUACAAUGUUUAUUAUAGUUGUUUGAUCAUUUGUUCAACCAACAUGGUGAUUCUAACAUUUUUCACAAAACUUAUAUAUCUCUCUUGCAGUUUCAUAAACUAUAAGAAAGAUAUGUAAAAUUUGUGAAUAAAUUUAUUUUUUUCACUUUGUCAAAUGAUAAAAUGAGAAAAAUAAAGGUUGUAGAUCUUGAGAAGUUAUACAACUUUGUAAUUGAAAACUUUUUGAUUUAAAUUCGUUUAGGGCUUCAAAAUUCGAUUUGAAAUUUUCUUUACCGAGUAUUUUUUUUUACACUCGGCAAAGAAGGUCUUCACCAAGUGUUAGAAAAAAAAACACUUGACAAAGAGGCUUCUUUGCCGAGUGUAAAAGAACACUCGGCAAAGAAAGUCUUUGCCUAGUGUUAAAAAAAAAACACUCAACAAAGAGGCUUCUUUGCCGAGUAUAAACAAAACACUCGGAAAAGAGCCAAAUUCCGGUAGUGAAUUGAAGUCCCAGUACGUAUAAAAUGCAUGCACACACAUAUAAUAUAAGAAAUUGGAAUGCUUAUUACUAUCUUUGGCCACUCCCACACACUCCCUUUUCUGGAUUAGAAUUCACUUUAUUUUUUGUCUAAAAUCAAAAGCUUGUGUAACUUUGAAAAAUGUUUUAAAUAAAUCUUGACAACAAAAAUUGCACUAUCAAGAGCACAACGUUCAAUGGCAUCUCGACGAAUCUGGUGGUAUACAUGGAGACCGUCCUCCAUGGCAGCAACCAUGGCAGUGCAUGCAUGCCUCCUCACCACGUGGUACGGCACCAGCUAUAAGCCUAUAUAUACCUCACGCCCAUCUUUCUUCAGCUGGUUCUACCUCUGCGUCGACUUCGGCCCCAUCGUGUCCGGCCGGUCUCCUCAUCGUGUGCAACGUUAGCUGGGGGCCUCGGCUUCGGCAUCGCCACGGCCUGCAUCGCGCUAGCCUUCCUGCUGCGCCUGCUGCCCCAUCUGGGUGACCAGCGUCAUCGUGUCCUCGACGUACACGCAGAUGUAUACCACCUUCGUCCAAAUUUGUAGUGGUUUUUGAUGUAAAUGUAACAGUGUAACACAGAGUAUAAAGUAUAAACCGUAGUUCUUUACCUACUGGUUCCCGUUCCCAUGUCCAAUCCCUGAUCAACGAGGACUCCAGCUCGGCUGCUCGAGACAACUGAUCGAUCGAUUCCGAAAAGGAAGAGCAGACUCCGUGGAUUCUAACCGGAUUAGCUAGACGAUCAACUCGAACUAUGCAAAUCCUUAGGAGUAGUAUAUAACCAGACGAUGCACGCCGUGGGAUUAAUUUACAACCGCAAGAUAGGAAGCUAGUUUUCAGCAGCCAUAUAGCUAGUUGCAGUACACGUUCUCCCUUGCCAAAAGCAACAAGAAGCAUCGCGGCAAUUCUAUCGAUCGGGCACGUACGCCGGAUGGCAGCUGCUGACGCGAUGGCCGGAGCGGCGGCUACAGACGACGAUGGAGCCGCCGUGGCGAUGGUAAAGAUGGCGGAGAUGCCGGUGGAGUUUCUCCGGUGGGUGAUGGCGCAGGACAAGGAGGACUACCGCGUGCCUACGCUGGAGGACUACACGCAGGAGGAGGUCGCCGAGGCCAAGGACACCAUCUGCACCGUCAUCGGCUGCUUGCAGGUCGCGUACGACGAGUUCGACGAGUUCCGGGCCUGGGUCGGCGACGUGAUCGAGAACGACGGCUGCGUGAUGAUCCACGAGGACAUGCUCUUCUCGGAUCCCAAAGAAUGGCAGGAAAGCGUCGACCAGGAGUGGGCAGAGGCAAGGCAGGAGCUGGAGAUGGAGCUGACGAAACCACUCGGCCAGCACCUGUGCAUGUUGUCUACGUAUCUUUCGCUCUUGUACCACUAUGCAGCGCCCAUCCCGACAUUUUGGGGGCCUUAGCUAUAUAUAUGGGUGAGAAAAGUUAAUAUUAUUAAGGCCAAUAACCAAUGUCGUAGAGACGGUAAGAACUACCGACAUGUUUUUUUUUUCAUAUUUUUGUUUAGUUUUUAAAUUUUCCAUUUACUUUUUUUUUCAUAUUUUCGUUUAGAAUGAAUAGUUUGUUUUCAUUUUCCAACAAGACUUAUUUUGGAUUUUUGCCAAAAAAAAUAGUAAGAUAAUCUAGAGAUGACGUGGUAUCUAGUUGGUUUUGAUAUUUAGUGGCCACUUUGUUGGGUUAUAUACUUUAUACGUCGGCAAGACAAUGUAACUUUGUUGGGUUAUACUUUAUAUGUCGGCAAGACAAUCUCCACAAAAUACAAUGAUCCUCUUGGCAUUUUCCAAAUACAUGGGUGACAAUAUGGCACAAUCCGUUUACCUUUACUCGUGUGUAACCUUAGCCACAUAUGGUGCUACUUUUCUUUGCGGCAGACGCUCACAUACACGAGCACACACUCAGUCCUAUAAAUGCACGCAUGCAAGUUAUUUUGCACUAUAGCCGAUGAGAUGAACCAUUCAUGCAAAAUAAAAGAAGUGGAGAGGAAGGGUAUAUGCUGCGCUGAAAUUGGAUAUGAGUAAGGCUUAUGAUAGAGUGGAGUGGCCUUUUAUAGAGAAGAUUAUGAGAAGAGGCUGGGUUUUCAUGAAAGAUGGAUAAUACUGAUUAUGACAUGUAUUACAACAGUCACUUAUCGCAUACAGGUGAAUAGUGGUUUGACUGAACAAAUCAUUUAUUCUAGAGGGUCUAGGCAGGGGGAUCCAAUUUCCCCGUAUUUAUUCUUGCUGUGUGCGGAAGGUUUUUUCAUCCUUGCUAAAUGAUGCCGAGAUGAAUGGAAGAAGUCAGGGGGUCUCGAUAUGUUCUGGAGCUCCUAGCAUAACUCACCUUUUGUUUGCAGAUGAUUCGUUGCUUCUCUUAAAAGCAAAUGAUGGGAAUGCAGCACAUCUGCGACAUGUUCUACAAAUUUAUGAGAUAUGCUCGGGGCAGAAAAUUAACAAAGAGAAAUCCUCUAUUGUGUUUAGUAAGAACACCCAGCCACAGGCAAAAUGGAGAUUCAUGGAAAUUCUUGAUCUUGCACAAGAGUCAAUGAAUGAAAGGUACUUGGGUUUGCCAGUAUAUAUGGGGAGAUCAAAAGCAAGUGUGUUUGGAAACGGAUACAGGGUUGGAAGGAAAAGUUGCUAUCAAAGGCCGACAAAGAAACUUUGAUCAAGGCGGUGGCACACACUACUACAGGAUUGAUUAACCGCAACGAGACCAUUUCCACCUCCGUGACGGGCACAGUUUUUGCCCGCCACGGUUAUUCAACCGCACGCGUAUAGGCCCGGCCACAGGAAAGCUAUAUUUUUUUUCUAGAUUCUUAAUGGAUCCAUAUGAAACCUUCUUUGUUCGAUGUGUAACGGUUCGCAGGCACGAGAUGGAUAGGUCGGAAUGGAUGUAUGGGAUGAAUCGGGUGCUUGACCCGCGGUACCUUGUCGAAGUGAGGAAGUUUAUUGCCACGGCGAAAGCUCACCGUGAGAGAUCGAAGCGGACGACAACCAUAUGUCCAUGUUCUCACUGCAAGAACCUCACAGCCUUCACGAAAGAAGGUACGGUGCAGUCUCACUUGAUUCGGUUUGGUUUCAUGGAGGGUUACACAGUCUGGACUCAUCACGGUGAAAGAGUGGACCCCAGUGGUGAUGCAUCCGGUUUGAGCUCGACGUCGACGACCAUGAACCAAGAACCUAGAGCGCCCAUCUCAUCUCCAACGACUGCAGGGCCAACCUUUGGCAACAACGACAACAUUGAUUCAGACAGAGUGGAGGAUAUACUCGGGGAGAUGGCAGAUGUUGUUGCAGAUGGCGAGGCGGCUACCAUGCAGGAACCGGAGGAUAUCGAGGUGAUCGAGGGUUUAGUCAGCCACAUCGAUGAAGACGACGUUGUGUAUGGCUCCCCUAAGUGGUUGGAAAAUUUUAGGGAGAUGAAGCAGACUGCACUUGAUCCACUGUAUAAGGACGGCGGUAAUUGUCCAAAGGAGUGUACGGUGCUCCGGUUCAACCUCCACAUGUUGAUGAUGAAGGCCCGGCAUGGCUGGUCUGAUACUAGCUUCAAUGAGCUGUUAAGUUACCUUGCUACCACGUACCCGACGGGUAACAAGGUCCCCGCAAAUACCUAUCAUGCGAAGAAGUUGAUUCGUCCAGUUGCGAUGAAACUUAGAAAGUUUGAUGCCUGCCCCAACCACUGCAUCCUGUAUCGAGGCAAGGAGUAUGAGAAUAUGACGAGUUGUCCGCACUGCGGCGCCAGUCGCUACAAGAGGAAUGCUGGAUGUCGUGUGGACGAAGACGACGAUGUGGCCUUACGGGGUCGUCCGAAGAGGAAGAAGGGAGCCAAGAAUAGCAGUGCCGCCGCCAAUCGCAUCUCAUCUCAGCAAGAUGAGGAAGAAGAGGGUUACACGCGGAGGAAAAGUCCAGCACUAUCGUUGUGGUACCUGCCUGUGACCGACCGCUUGCGUGCACUAUUCGGGAACCCAGAGGAUGCCAAGCUCAUGUCCUGGCAUGCAUCAGCUGACCGCAAGAAGGAUGAUGGCAUGCUGCGGCACCCAUCCAAUGGCCAACAGUGGAAAGAUUUUGACAAGGCAUACCCGGAAUUUGGUAAGGAUCCUAGGAACGUUCGGCUCGCGCUGAGUACUGAUGGGAUGAACCCUUUUGGUGAGCUUAGCAGCUCGCACAGCACCUGGCCGGUUGUACUCACCGUCUACAACCUACCUUCCCAUCUGUGUCAAAGGCGAAGGUAUCUUAUGCUGACCAUGCUUAUCUCAGGACCGAAGCAGCCUGGUAACGAUAUCGAUGUCUUCCUAGAGCCGUUGAUGGAGGAAAUGCAGGAGUUAUUUGAUGUUGGGGUAGAGAUGAUUGAUGCAUCCCGCAAAGAGAAGUUUACCCUAAAAGCCAUCAUCAUUGUCAGCAUCACCGAUUACCCCGGUCUCUUCUCACUAUCAGGGCAGAUCAAAGGGAAGACCGGCUGCGUAGUGUGCAUCGACGGGACCUACUACACUUAUCUCCAGGGAUAUCACAAGAUGGUGUACAUGAGGCAUAGACGGUUCCUCGUCAAGAAGCACAGGUACAGAAGAAGUGUUAUGAAUCAGUUCUUCGCUGAUGAGGAAGAGCCGCAGGGUGAAGCACCAGCUGUGGGGGUAUAAACCCCUAUACCCUUACGGCUAGACUUGGGCCAGAAGGCUUGGCCCAUUACAAGACAAGCUCAAGGUUUGGUCCGACAGCUUGGAGUUUCGCGCAAGGAAACAAGACGUGGAGAUCAAGAAGGAUUCUAGUCGGUUAGAAUAGAAAUUGAUAUCAAACUAUCUAUGGCAAUUGUAACCGACUAGGAUUAGUUUCCAGAUCUGUAACCCUGUCCUCCGGACUAUAUAAGGAGAGGCAAGGGACCCCCCUAGGACAUCAUAUUCUCUCAACACAAAUCAAUACGACCAGACGCAGGACGUAGGUAUUACGCCAACUCGGCGGCCGAACCUGGAUAAAAAGCUUGUCCGUGUCUUGCGUCACCAUCAAGUUCGUAGUUUGCGCACCGUCUACCGAUAAACUACUACCGUGGGUAUACCCCAAGGUAGACUGCCGACUAGCUUUCGUCGACAGUGGCGCGCCAGGUAGGGGGUGUGCGUGCAACUUCUCCGGCGAACAAGAUGGUUACGAUCCCAGCUUCCGCGACCGUGCCUGAAGGCCUCACGUUCACCGUCAGCCAGAUCACGUGGACGACGUGCAGCGGCGGCCUCACGACCACGGUUUCGAAAGAAACUCAGAUCCGAUCUGAGAUCACGCCGUCUCCGACCACUCGCGUGGCGGCACCGAGCGCCCGACCACCGUUCCCGCUCUACAAGGGAAAGAAGAUUGACUGCUCGGACCUUCUCCAAGCGCUUGAUCGCGCUGACUCCAAGCUACUUGAAGCCUCCCAACUAGUAGACGGAGUCCUACGUCAGCCUGAUCAAGCUGCUCCAACGGAUUUUUUCAAAUCCCGCCGGCCAACUCGUGUCGUUACACACGAACGGCUGGGAACGUCUCUGACGAUAACCUCAACCCCCUCAGGACGAUCCGUCAAGCUCAAGAAGGGAGAUCAUCCUUGCGGCCUGAACAACUCAGCCUCUCUUUACUCACGGCACAUCCAAUCCGUUUUCAGCAAGGCGGGUUGGCCGCCGAAAAGGAACGGUCGUCACUACGUCAACGUGGUGGCAAUCCGAGAACUACGGGACGGCCAGGCUUCCAGCACGAACUCGAGCACCGGUUCCGUCACCACCGAAGUUAUAAACACCGAAGACGAGGACUACGACCUGGAUUUGCCUUCGCACCCUCCGGAUUUCCCUCGUUUCCCGGUAUUCCCCCCUCGGCGAGGAGAUAUUGUCUUCAACGUCAGCGCCGACGAACCGGUCGUCGAUGGAGAAACGGAUGAGCAGAGGCAACUCCGCGAGCAGCGCAACGCCGAUCGCGCCCGACGACGUGCGGACGAGCAACAACAAAUUCCACCGCAUAAUCUCAACGACGCUUUUGACAUGGUCGGGGACCAGCCAGUCUACAAGACGCCAAUCGCCAACGUGGCUGUCGCCAUGGCUAAUCUAGAUCGGCUCCCUGAUACCCCUGAGUGCCAAGGAGUCCGGACCAGCAUCCGAGCACACAUGAUCGCCGCAAUGGGACAGACAGCCACUCUGCUCAAGAGAGUCCAGGACGUCUCUUACACAGAAGCCACCUCCGACCAGACUAAUCGUAGCCGGACCUCACCACCUCCCAGCAGGCGUCGCCGUAGCCGCUCUCCCGACAACCAUCGAAAAGAUUCACGGCGCGACGAUGGUGGUCGGGACACUGACGGUCACCGUGAGCAGAACCGCAGACGCAGUCAAGAAGUAAACCAACACAGGGAUCUCCGGCACAACAUUCCUCCCAAAGAUGCCCGGGACCGCAUUAACAGGCGUGCCACAGAAAGAGCAGUCCACGAAAACCUGCGCCGUAUUGAGUACGAUGCACCACACGGCCCCCCGGGCCUAAGACAAUUCUUCUCACACCUCCGCCAGGUCGUGUGGCCCCGCAAUUUCAAGCUCGAAAAACUUAAAAAAUACGAUGGCAAGGAAAAUCCAGAGAACUGGAUCACUCUCUAUGAAAUCGCCGUCCGAUCAGCAGCGGGAGAUGAGCACGUCAUGGCCAACUACUUCCCCGUAGUCCUCGACCAGGCUGGUCAUCAGUGGCUCCUUGGCUUGCCCGAGGACUCCUUCGACUCUUGGGAAGAGCUACGCCAGGCUUUCAUCGACAACUUCAUCGCCACAUGCGAGCAGCCUGGAAACAAGUAUGACCUCGAAAGGAUAAGGGACAGGAAGAACGAACCUCUGCGCGACUACAUCCGACGAUUCUCGGAUAUGCGCCUUAAGAUCCCAAAGAUUUCCCACGACGAGGCCAUCUCUGCCUUCAUCAAGGGCCUGCGUUUCCAUGAAGCGCUGAGGAACAAGCUGUUGCGUAAACGGCCAACAACGGUGGCGGAGCUCCUCGCCACGGCCAAAAAUUACGCCGAUGCUGACGACGCAGAAAAACUAAUCCGAGACGAUGCGAGAGGUCCCGACCCGCCUCCCCGGCGAGACGACGGUCGCGGUCGCUACGACAACAGGAACCACCGCCGCCCCGACAACCGCGAUCACAGAGAAGGUUGGGAUCGGCGGCGCGACAACCGCGACGAUUUCAGAGGAAAGCGCCCCCACGACUACGACCACGAAGUAAAUACGGUCAAGCGCCCCAACGGGCGGCGGGACUACCAAGAAGACUACAACAAAACGUUGAAGGGACCGUGCUAACUACAUCCAAAGUCUAAUCAUACCAUGGAGGAAUGCCGCAUCCUCAAAAGCAUCUAUACACGGCGGGCCGCCCAAGACGACUCCGCUAAGAAAAACGGCAAGCGAGACGGGCACGACCACGAAGACGAGGAUGAGGACCAAGAUAGGGACCUCCGACACCAAUACGUCAGCCCCACUGACGUGGUCCACUCCAUCUUCGGGGGCAAGGUCUCCAUCGAAUCUAAGCGGGAAAGAAAGCUAUUGAAGAGAGCCUGCCUCAACAUAGACAGCACGGACGGGCUGAUCGCAGACCCGAAAUUUCCAACGUGGUCGCACAGAGAGAUCUCAUUCAGCAGGAAGGACCAGUGGGCCGCCAUCCCAGAGCCAGGUCGUUUCCCUCUGAUCCUGGACCCUUGCAUCAACAGCAUCAGAUUCGAGCGCGUGCUCGUGGACGGAGGAAGCUCCAUCGACAUCCUCUUCCGCAACAGCCUGCCCGCUCUCAAGAUAUCUCCGGCACAACUAAAACCUUACGAUGCCCAAUUCUGGGGGGUUUUGCCAGGUCAGAGUUCAGUGCCCCUCAGACAGAUAACAUUGCCUGUCCAAUUCGGCACACCCGAACACUUUCGGACGGAGUUCAUCAACUUCGUGGUCACGGACUUCGACGGGACCUACCACGCUAUACUGGGCCGACCAUCGCUGACAAAGUUCAUGGCAGUCCCGCACUACUCAUACCUGGUCCUUAAGAUGCCUACGGAGAAGGGUGUCCUAACCGUCAGAGGCAAUGUCUACACCGCGUAUACCUGCGAAGAAGAGAGCUUCAAGAUCACCGAAGCAAUCGACCUCUCAAUCCGCAUGGCAGAAACAGCAACCCAAGCCGCGCAGCUACCUCCCGACCAGCUCCGAUUGCCCGAACAAGAGACAGCCAGGAAGAAUUCAAAAUCCAAGGAGUACAAAGAAGUGCAGCUGGUCGACGGCAGCUCCGAGAAGACGGCCCUCAUCGGGGCCAAUCUGGAUCCAAAAUAGGAAGACGCGCUCGUCAGGUUUCUAAGGGACAACGUCAGCGUUUUCGCAUGGAAACCCGCAGACAUGCCCGGCGUCCCACGAAACCUGAUCGAGCACUCCUUAAACGUCUCGAAGACCGCAAGACCAAUCAAGCAAAAGCUGCGACGGUUCGCUCGUGACAAAAAGGAGGCUAUUAGGACAGAAAUAACACGGCUUCUAGCAGCCGGAUUCAUAAAAGAAGUGUAUCACCCCGAUUGGCUCGCCAAUCCGGUUCUUGUACGCAAAAAGAAUAAUGAAUGGAGAAUGUGCGUUGAUUACACAGAUCUCAAUAAACACUGUCCUAAAGAUCCUUUUGGUCUCCCUCGCAUCGACGAGGUGGUCGACUCAACGGCCGGAUGCGAACUCCUCUCUUUUCUAGACUGCUACUCUGGUUACCACCAGAUUUCGCUAAAGGAAGGCGAUCAGAUCAAAACAUCUUUCAUUACCCCUUUCGGCGCAUACUGCUACACGACCAUGUCAUUCGGACUCAAAAACGCUGGAGCCACUUAUCAACGGGCCAUCCAGCAGUGCCUCCACGACGAGAUUCGUGAUGACCUCGUCGAGGCCUAUGUAGACGACGUGGUCGUAAAAACAAGGGACGCGAGCACCCUAAUCGACAACUUAGACCGAACUUUCAAGGCGCUUAAUAGGUACAAGUGGAAGCUCAACCCCAAAAAGUGCAUCUUCGGUGUUCCUUCCGGUCUACUGCUCGGCAACGUUGUCAGUCGCGACGUCAUACGACCAAACCCUUCAAAAGUAAAAGCAGUACUCGACAUGCGACCACCCAAGAACGUCAAGGAUAUUCAGAAGCUUACCGGAUGUAUGGCCGCCCUCAGUUGCUUCAUCUCAAGGCUAGGAGAAAAAGGCCUCCCUUUCUUCAAACUCUUGAAAGCGUCGGAAAAAUUCUCUUGGACAGAAGAAGCCGACGCCGCGUUCACUCAGCUUAAGGCUUUCCUCACUUCACCACCUGUCCUUACAGCGCCUCCGCCCGAUGAAGACCUACUCCUUUACAUUGCUGCAACCGACAGGGUUGUUUCCACAGCAAUAGUGGUCGAGCGAGAUGAACCAGGUCAUGCCUAUAAAGUCCAGAGACCCGUUUACUUCAUAAGUGAAGUCUUAAACGAGUCCAAGGCCAGGUACCCACAAAUACAGAAGCUCAUAUACGCCAUUCUAAUAACAUCAAGAAAGCUGAAGCACUACUUCGACGGCCAUCGAGUCUUGGUAACCACCAGUUUCCCUCUCGGGGACAUUCUGCGCAAUAAAGACGCCAACGGCAGAAUCGUGAAAUGGGCGAUGGAAUUAUGCCCAUUUUCCCUAGAGUUCCAGAGCCGCACCACAGUCAAGUCUCAGGCCCUGGUCGAUUUCAUUGCUGAAUGGACGGAUCUCAACGAGCCUCCCGUUCCCGAUGUCUCCGACCACUGGUCAAUGUUCUUCGACGGAUCCUUAAACAUCAACGGUGCCGGCGCUGGGAUACUGUUCGUGUCACCUAACAAGGACAAACUGCGUUACGUCCUUAGGAUCCUAUUUCCAGCGUCAAACAAUGUCGCCGAAUACGAAGCAUGCCUGCACGGCAUAAGGCUCGCCGUUGAGCUGGGAGUCAAACGCCUUUAUGUCUAUGGCGACUCCGCUUUGGUUAUCAACCAGCUCAACAAGGAGUGGGACGCAACCCACGAGAAGAUGGAUCUCUACUGCAAAGAAAUUCGCAAAUGGGAAACCAACUUCUACGGCAUAGAGUACAUCCACGUGGUCCGAGAUAAGAACCAGGCAGCAGAUGCGUUGUCGAAGUUAGGGUCAUCUCGGGCCUAGAUCCCACGGGGUAUUUUCGUCCAGGACAUCCACGAGCCUAGCAUAGGCUCCACCCUGGUCGAAAAGCAACCUACCGAGGCAAUGCUCAUAGACGAUGCCACUCCGACAACCGGUGGUCGUGAUUGGCGUACACCGUUCAUCAAGUAUAUAUCGGACGGGACAGGCUUUCAGGACAAAACAGAGAACGAGCGCCUCAUUCGACGGUUAAAGAACUACAUCCUGGUCGACGGUAAACUCAUGCGAAAAAAUGCAAGCUCUGAAGUAUUGCUCAAGUGCAUAUCCCAGGAUGAUGGUACCAAGCUCCUAGAAGACAUACAUGCUGGAUCCUACGGCAAUCACACCGCAUCCAGAACGUUGGUCGGAAAAGCCUUCCAGGCAGGUUUUUAUUGGCCAACCGCGGUCAACGACGCAGAAAAACUGGUUCGACACUGCGAGGGAUGUCAGUUUUUCGCUAAGAGGACCCACGUACCCGCUCACGAAAUUCAAACCAUCCCGUCGUCCUGGCCCUUCGCUUGCUGGGGGCUUGACAUGAUCGGGCCAUUUAAACCAGCUCCCGGCAACUUCAAGUUUGUUUUCGUGUUAAUCGACAAGUUCUCCAAGUGGAUCGAAUACAUGCCUCUGGUCAAAGCAACCUCCGAGAAGGCUGUGGAGUUCCUCAAUCAAAUCAUACACAGAUUCGGCAUCCCGAACAGCAUAAUCACCGACCUGGGUACUCAGUUUACUGGCACCACAUUUUGGGACUUCUGCGAUGACAGGGGCAUAGUCAUAAAAUAUGUGUCAGUGACUCAUCCACGGGCCAAUAGUCAAGUUGAACGCGCAAACGGAAUGAUCAUUGACGCCCUAAAGAAAAGGCUGUACAACGAGAACGACAGAGCACCCGGUCGAUGGAUGAAAGAGUUACCUGCCGUGGUUUGGGGCCUCCGUACUCAGACCAGUCGAAACACAGGAGUAUCUCCCUACUUCAUGGUUUACGGCUCCGAGGCAGUCCUGCCGUCUGACAUAACCUUCGGAUCUCCUAGGAUUGAACACUUCGACCAGGCGACAGCCGACAACGCCAGAGAACUCGAAAUCAACUGCAUGGAGGAAAAGCGUUUGAAUUCUUGUCUCCGAACAGUAAAAUAUCUCACGGCAGUCAGGCGAUACCACAACAGGAACGUCAAGGACCGUUCCUUCGUGGUCGGCGACCUGGUACUUAGGUGGAGAACAAGCCAAGAGGGAAUGCACAAGCUCUCCACUCCCUGGGAAGGACCCUUCGUGGUCGCCGAAGUCACACGACCCACGUCCUACAGAUUGGCAUACCCAGACGGGACACGCGUGCCUAACUCUUGGCACAUAGACAAACUGCGACGAUUUUACCCAUAAGUUCUAAUAACUUUCGCUUGUAAAUAUCUUAUAAUUGUCAAUAUUAAAGUUUUCUAUUUUUUGCCUAUACUUUGUUGCACGCAGAACUCUUGGCAAACCUUCUGCAACGGAAGCUCUUAGCGACUACCAAGUCAAAUACGGUGACACGUCACUCAGAUAAUUAUACAGCGCUCAAAAUAACAGUCAUGACAAAGCAAACUUUAUUACAAACUUUAUAUACAAAGUUUACAAUAAAUAUCCUGACGGGCAGACGCUAGUCUAUUCCUACAGACUACCCUAUCGGCCUAACUGCUCGGGCUGAUCACCCGUUUGGCCCUGCUGCCCGGACGAAGGGGUCGGGCCCACCGGCGCCUUGCUGGUCGAGACCGCAGGCGUCGACCGCCCAUCUCCCGCAACAGACGCGCCCGACAGCUCCCUGGCCGACCUGUCUGAGCCUGGCUGGUCGGGGGGAGUGGCCGUUCCGCACAGAUUGAUGUCGCCGAUCACCAUCGACGACAAGUCCAGCAGACCACCCCGAAGCUCGUCCGCCUCCUGCGGGCCGACCUCCUUGGGGUACCCCUUCUCCAGCCUGGACAAGUCGACCAGGGGGUAAUGGGCGCGCACCAUGCUAAGGACAUGCGCACCAGCGAACUCCCCAGCGUCCUUCACAAAUUGCUGGAGCCAGUCCCACGCCCGUUGCGCCUUCUCCACCGGAGUCAACUUCGGCGCGCGGGGCUGGCUCUCCGGGAGCUCGGGACUGAUCAGAUCCAGGACCGGGGAUACUCCCUUCCAGAUCUUACAACAGUUGACCUUCCAGGAGUCCCAGUCCUUGACCAGCUCAUCCAGGUGCUUCUUGGCGUUCACCUUGAGCUCUGCAAGUCAAGCAGGACGUUAUCUUCGACAUAUCAAAAAACAAAGGGGGCGACAAGCGGCAGAUAACGAGGCGGUGCGUAUUACCAGAUAACUCCCGGUCCUUACGACCCAACUCCUCUCCUGCUCGACGCCCGGACUCCAGCGCACCAGCGAGCUCUUGGCUGAGCUGCUCCUUCUCCUAUCGGAGGCGCGUCACCUCCUCCUCCAGGUCUAAGUGAAUCAUAACCUGGUCAGCAAAGCGAACUACACAGCUACACGAAGGUGCUCGGAUCGCGUGACUAACCUUCUCGCUGACGGUACUGGUCGGCCAAGCGACGGGUAAGCUCGAGACAAUGCUCCUCUUGGGCAUUCAUCUCGGCCACUUUCUCCCCAACCUCCGAUCGCAGCCGGUCCACCUCCGCGGCUAGGGCCUUGUUCUCGGCCACAACGCCUUCUAUCUGGUCGAAGCACCGUUUCCGGUACUUCGCCGUUUUCAUCGCGCCCUACAAAACGAACAUAUGACAACCAAGCAAGACAACGUACAGAAUGUACAACAGUGCAAAGAACCGCUUACCUUGACUUCGUCGACGAGGCGUUUGGCCGCGCGCUCGACCCUGGCGGCCUCCUCGGUCUCGGCGAGCUCCUCAUGCCCGAUGAAGUGAUCCCCGCGUUGGCGCCACACAUACACGUGUUGGCGGCCAUCGCGGGGACGACCUUCAAUCUCCUCCACCUCAUCGUCGGAGGCCGCCUGGGUUUCCUCCUCACCCGUCGUUUUGCCCCCGGUAGCAGUCGAAGGCAUUACUGGCCCCCGGGCCAGACCCGGGGAGCCUGCAGUCGAAGCGUCCCCUGCUCGGGGCGGCGUGGGGACUUCGCUCUCCUCGGCAGGAGGAGGGGUCGGGGCUCUCCCCUCCCUUUCUGUGGAGUUCGCUGGGGGAGGUGCCCCUGUAGCCUCCUCAGCCCUGGCCGGGCUGCUCGCCGUGGUCGGUGCCGCGGCUGGGGGCUCCUCGGUGCUCACAGGCACGGCUGCAGCCGCAGGCUGCUCCGUGGUCUGCGGCGCCGCGUCUUCAGCAGCGCAGGCAGGCUCACCCGCCCCCUGGCCGGCGGCAUGGCCGGGGUUGACAUCCGACGCCGCGCUAAAAGAACAAAAGUACAAUAAAAAAAAAGCCAAAAUACGUAAGUCGAACACUUACAGGUCCGAUCGACGGUGGGUCGCGGUGAACCUCCUCCUCGUCCGGCCAGUCGGCACCUGCGCCCCCAUCUCGACAACGCGCGGAGCAGGAGGGUCGCUGGCCACCCGAUCAGUAGUGGCCGGCGCACUAUCUGGGCGGUUCCGAGGUCGUCGAACUAGCGACGGUGCGGCCUCCUCGUCGUUGUCGUCGUCGUCGUCAACGAUCCGCACGAGCCGACGGCGCUUCGGCGCUUGGCUGCUCUCCGCCGGCAACGUCGGUACCGGCAAAGGAUCUGCCGCCAGUGGCCUUUUCCCCGCCACCCUCUCCUCGGUGGUCGGGACGGGGCGGGCCUGGUCCUCCUCACUGCUGGUGUACCGAUCACACCGUGCAGCGUCCUCUAAAGGCGGAUCCUCCCUUGUGGGAUCCUCCAUCCCAGGCGCUAGUGACACAUACACUGUGCACCUAUCUACAUCUCCGAUCUACAAAGAGAAAUACAGACAAGUCAGCAUCCGACGAUAUAACGAAGGCUAAGGAGUCAGUCAGUAAAGGACAUUACCUUAGGGGCUGGUUGCCCCAGCUUGAAAGCUUGCACCCGAUCACUACCACGGAUGAAGCCCCCAUCAGUAAAGUUGAACAAUUCGUACAACAACUGCUGCACCUCUUCCUUCUCCAGGACCUCAGGCCUCAUCCUGGUCGGGUCCUGGCUUCCGGCGUACUCAUACGCCGAGUGCACCCUCUUCUGGCAGGGCAUCACUCGGCGGCAAACAAAGUUCCCGACCACCCCUAGCCCGUCCAAGCGCGACCAGUCGAUCAGCUUCAUCAGGUCUGCUACCUGUCGAUCGAAUUCUGGGCGGUCGGUCCAACUGACCCUCUUCUCGGGGAUGUACCCCAUGUCACAGAACGUGGAGCUGCCCGGCUCCUCCCUGACGUAGAACCAUUUCUUAUACCACUCGGUAAGAGAGGUAUUCCAAGGGCAGUUCAGGUACCGGUUCUUCAUCCCGUCCCGGAGAUUGAGGUAUACUCCACCUGCAAUCUUGGAGCCUCCAACUGCUCCCUUCUUCCUUAAACAGAAAAGAUAACGAAAGAGAUCCAAGUGCGGCUCUAUGCCCACAUAGGCCUCGCACAAAUGGAUAAAAGUGGAAAUGAGGAGAAUGGAGUUCGGGUGCAGAUUGCAAAUCCCGAUCUCAUAAUACAAAAGAAGACCUUGAAGAAAAGGAUGAACAGGAACCCCAAAUCCCCUCUUAAUGAAAUCUUCAAACACGACGAUCUCACCGGCGCGGGGGUCGGGGUAGCUCUCCCCCUCCGGUGCCCUCCAGCCGCCGAGCUCCGGGCUGUGCAGAAGCCCCAUAUCGACGAGGUCACCAAGAGAUUUGGUGGUGCUGCGGGAUUUCUUCCACUCCUUGGCCAUCAGUUCGGCCCUCUUCUUGGAGUCGAUCUUCGCCAUUGGAGGUGAGGAAGUGGACUUGAGUUAGGAAGAUGCCGGUGAUUGAAAGAGGCAAGAGUGGAAGGCUUGAAGGCAAUGGCAGGGUAAGCAGUAUAGGCGGAACUGUCGAGCUCUUAUAACCCGCAAAUCCACCUCUCCCACUUCCCGUAUUCUCGGGAAGUGGGCGGGCCGUGCGGCGGAUGUGGCGUUUCGGUUUUCAAUGAUUAUAGACGAUUAAUGCGGCGGAGUUUUCGUACCAAUUGAUGGUUUCCUUUUCUCAAACCAUGCAAAGGGUGGCUGCACAGUUGCCAGGCGCAACUUUUCAUGCAUCCAUCUGACAUCCCGUCAGGAGGCCUCGUCACGUCAACUUUAACUGGAAAGAUCUUUUCAAAAACAAGAAGACAAAUAUGGCAGAGAGUCAACAAUCCGGGGACUGUACCGACCACCGAGCACUUGAUGCUCGGGGACUGGUCGCCCAGUCUAUCGACUCAGAACUUCAAAGACUGUACCGACCACCGAGCACUUGAUGCUCGGGGACUGGUCGCCCAGUCUAUCGACUCGGAACUUCAAAGACUGUACCGACCACCGAGCACUUGAUGCUCGGGGACUGGUCGCCCAGUCUAUCGACUCAGAACUUCAAAGACUGUACCGACCAUCGAGCACUUGAUGCUCGGGGACUGGUCGUCUAGUCUAUCAGCUCGGAACUUCAAAAUAUCACACCAACCACUAAGCGCUUGAUGCUCGGGGACUGGUCGUCCAGCAUAGCAACGCAGGAUUCUAAGGAGCGCACUUGGUACUUGGGUCCUGAUGGUCAUACUAUUGUACACCAGGGGACUGGUCGAUCAGUCUGUUCAAUUGCAGACGGACUAGUAAAAUUAAUUUUUUAGACCUUGCUACAAGGCUCAUACUUCGUCUUCCAGCAAGCUCGGGGACUAUAUCGGUACGAUGCAUCUGGCGAUGCAUCUCAGUUGCAGAAUUUCUUUGAGGACUUUUCUUUUGACCCUGGCACCACGUACCUACGUCACCUACUACCAGGCUCGGGGACUAAGUGGGCACACUUCACCUUGCGGUGAAUAUGCUUGCUUUUUUGAGGUUUAUACUUUUCUUAAAAGUAAAGUGGGCACACUUCACCAGGAAAGAAUUUUUUUUAAAUUUAGAGCACCAUGCAUUCAUCGAACAACCAGCUUCUUCGAUGUCAACGUUGAUCAACUGUCUUUUGAGUUGGUCAAAGUACCGUUGCGACUGUUUGGGUGACUUUUUGUUUAUUGAAGACGUCAAGCCUCACUGAUCGAAGAAGCUCAAGAUGGCGUGUUACAUCACAAUACAUGGUGCUCGGGGACUAGCUGUGGGGGUAUAAACCCCUAUACCCUUACGGCUAGACUUGGGCCAGAAGGCUUGGCCCAUUACAAGACAAGCUCAAGGUUUGUUCCGACAGCUUGGAGUUUCGCGCAAGGAAACAAGACGUGGAGAUCAAGAAGGAUUCUAGUCGGUUAGAAUAGAAAUUGAUAUCAAACUAUCUAUGGCAAUUGUAACCGACUAGGAUUAGUUUCCAGAUCUGUAACCCUGUCCUCCGGGCUAUAUAAGGAGAGGCAAGGGACCCCCCUAGGACAUCAUAUUCUCUCAACACAAAUCAAUACGACCAGACGCAGGACGUAGAUAUUACGCCAACUCGGCGGCCGAACCUGGAUAAAAAGCUUGUCCGUGUCUUGCGUCACCAUCAAGUUCGUAGUUUGCGCACCGUCUACCGAUAAACUACUACCGUGGGUAUACCCCAAGGUAGACUGCCGACUAGCUUUCGUCGACACCGGCGCAGACUAGUUGGGGGCCAAAGGUGUAUGAGAUGGUGAAGGAUAUGGAUCACAUAGAGUUUGGCAAGAAGAAGAAGAAGGUACCAGAAGAAGAGGGGACAAAACAUACAAGGAAGAGAAAGCGGGACACGAAGGAGGACGCCGCACCGCUUGUCCCUUUCAAGAAGAAAUCGAUUUUCUUCAAGUACCUGUCAUACUGGAAAACCCUGAAAACACCCCAUGCCAUUGACUGCAUGCACCUCGAGAAAAACGUCUUUGAUAGCACCAUCGGUGUCCUAUUGGACAUCAAGAGCAAGAUGAAGGAUGGCCUCAAGUCACGGUUGGAUCUUGUGAACCAGGGCAUCAGGAAGGACCUUCACCCGGGUCCGACUCAUAACGGCAAAGUCGAUCUACCAGGUGCGUCUUACAACCUAAGGCAUGAUGAGAAGAUUGCUAUGCUCAAGUUGUUGAGGGGUAUCAAGGUGCCGACCGGUUUCUCUUCCAACAUCAAGAGUCUGGUGUCCAUGAAAGACCUCACACUAGCCGGCUACAACUCACAUGACUGUCACGUCAUGCUGACGGUGUUCCUUCCAAUCGUGAUUAGGGCUAUCGGUCCAGAAUACGUGAAGAUGGUGGUCACUCGGAUGUCAUACUUCUUCAACCGUAUCACCCAGAAGGUCAUCGGUAAGGCUGACCUGCCUGCCCUUAAGGAGUUCAUUGCAGAGACCCUCUGCCAGCUCGAGAUGUGCUUUCCCCCAUCUUACUUUGAUAUUAUGCCACACCUGAUGAUGCACAUGGUUGAUCAGAUCGAGCAACUUGGCCCCGUGUACCUACACCAGAUGUGGACGUACGAGCGGUUCAUGUCCACCCUCAGCAGAUACGUCCAUAACCGUGCUUACCCAGAAGGCUCUAUGAUCGAGGCAUACACAACUGAGGAGUCCGUGAACUGGUGCAUGAGGUACAUAAGAGAUGGGAGAGCGAUUGGGAUGCCUGUCCAUCAGCACGAGGGCAGAACCGCGGGGUUGGGGUGUACUGGACGCAAAGUACGCACCGAUAUACCAUAUAAAGAUGUGGAACAAGCUCAUUACAGUAUCCUUCAUCAGUUAGUGAGCAUGGAGAAGUACGUUGACAGACAUGUCGAAGAGAUCCGCGUCGCGCAUGAUGGACAACACACAGAGGAAUGGGUCCAGAAAGAGCACAAGAGCACUUUCCUAUCCUGGCUUAAAGAGCAACACAUACCCCUAGAAGGCUGCUCUGAUAAAGAUACAGACACCGUUAAGAAGCUUGUGCUAGGUCCGUCCAGCAGAGUCACCACGUGGCAAGGCUAUGACGUCAAAGGGUACCGGUUCCACACGAAAGAAAAGGACAAGAAGAGCGCCGCACAGAACAGCGGUGUUCGAUAUGAGGGUGUCGACGAGGCCACAAACUCGAGGACGCAAUACUAUGGGCAGGUCGAAGAAAUAUGGGAACUUGACUAUAGCAAAGACGUUCGCGUAACCGUCUUCCGAUGCCACUGGGUUAACCCAAAAACGGUUGUGGUGGACAAUUAUGGGCUAACCACCAUGAACCUCAAAAGUACCGGCUACAAAGAUGAUCAGUGGGUACUUGCAACCAAUGUCGCGCAAGUGGCCUACUAUAUCUAUCCGGAGGACACAAAGAGGCAUGUGGUUGUUUCAGGAAAGCAACGCAUCGUUGGAGCUGAUGGGGUACAGAGCCCAGAACAAUACAACAACUAUGAAGAGCUCGAGCUAUUUACCGAUCUACCAAAGAAGGUGAAGGCCAUCGAGGACCGUUGUAACAAGAGUGGAAUGAAGCCGUGGACCCGACAUGAUGGUGAGGUGCGGUCUGUGAAAGCACCUGCACCAAAAUGAGAGAACUAUUUAAGAUAAUGGGCAAUUAUUGUAAUACCUCUUUUUAAGACAAGUCUUAUAUUUAAUGAAGUAGUGGACAAUUAUACAUAGCACACACAUCUAUAUGUAAUGGAGUAGUAGUGGAUAAUUAUUGUUUAAUAUCUCUUUUUUAAUAUGUAAGUUUUGUAAUUCAGCUAUUUAUAAAUGUCAAUUUAUUAAUAUCCCUGUAGCUAUUUACAAUUUUAAAAUUAUCAAAAAAUUAUAUUAUAAAAGUAAAAAGCUUCUGUUCAGGGAAUAACCGCAGCGGGCGUCUUAACUUGCCCGCUGCGGUAAAUAUUAACCGCAGCGGGCGUCUUAAAGUGCCCGCUUCGGUUAAUAUUUACCACAGCGGGCAGGUUAAGACGCCCGCUGCGGUUAAUGUUAACCGAAGCGGGCACAUUAAGACGCCCGCUACGGUUAUUCCCACACUAUAAAAGCAGGCGGCCCUCUGCCCUAAAAUUAGUCGCGCGGUUCUUCCUCACCCGAAGGGCUGCCGAAUUUCGAACUCCCGCCUUCGCCGCCGCCGUCCCCGUCCACGCUCCAUCACCGUCACCCGCUCGAACUCGCCUGCUUCAUCCCCGUCCGCCGUCCGCCACCGCGGGACCUUCACCGGCGCUUCGUCACCGUCGGCCAUCCGCGGGACCUUCACCGGCGCCAUCCACCGUCCGCUGCACUUCGCCACCAGGUAUGCUCCCUCCUUUCUCUUCCCUUUCUUCCUUAGCGGAGCCGAGCACUUCCUCCCUAUUCCCUCCAUCGUUCAAAUCGACCCCACCCCCGCGGCGCGCGCCUCGGGUCCCCGUCUCCGCGGAUCUCCGGUGAGUCCUCUGUCACCCGCCAUCCGUGUAACGCAGCCGUGACCCUGCGGUAGGGGAAGGCUAAGGCCUUCACAACACCCUAUGAAGAAUACAAGUGAAGCAAAAAGAACCUCAGAAGCAAAUGUUUUUUGAAGUGUUUAUGUCUAUGUCCAGAUCUGCUUGGGUCUUUCAAGUUUAAUUGUAUACUAGAUAUGUGUAUUACAAUUAUAGAAUUCAUGUUUUAUGUUCUUAUUUUUUCAGUCUAUAACAAUUCCCUGAAUUUCAAUCAGCGCAAAAUGCUUUAUCUUAUAUGCUUGUAGGCAUCAAGCAGGUAGUGUCAAAUGCCAUGGUUUGUGUGGAGUGAUGCCUAAAUUUUCUCUCUCUUCUUUGCAUGUCGAGUGCAGUAACUUCUCAAUUUAUAUUAGACAUCCCAAAUCAUUGUUUCAAGUACUGGGAUGUUCAAUCUGCAAUGUGGCUUCUUGAUUUGAUUGAGUAGAUCUGUGGUCUCUAGUCAGACUUAUUUGUUUAGCUUAGCUCUAAAAUUUUAUAUUAUUCCAAGUUGUGUUCACGAGAACUCCAAAAUGUUCAAUCUGCAAUGUGGUUUCUGUUUGCAAGUGCCACAAAACUGAAAUCAUUUCGCCAGACCACAUCCAGUAGAACAAGUGCUAUGUUCCUAGGUAGACUAAAUGUGUAUGCUGCAACCGUGUAGGGUCACAAUUUUUGAAACAUUUUUAGGUUCACAACACGGAAGUCAUCAGAGUAUAUUUUGGUUCUUGUGUUUUACUUUGUAUUUGAUUCGUGUUCUCAAUGCAGCAUACACAUUUAGGUAGCAGCUGUUUUGUGUGGAUAUGAAUCUUGCAUAAUGUCUGUUACGAAUCUUGCACAGUUAACUGCUUUAAACUGAAAAAAUGGCUAUUCAUUUCAUAUCAUUUUAGCUGGUUAGUUUUUGCUCAAUUGAAGCUUUGUUCUCUUAUUUUUUAUGCUAAAACUGCCAGAUUAGUAGUUUUCUUUGUCUCUUUCUAUCUGUUAGGAGGAACUAAGCUUGCUGCAUUUAAACUAUAUAUACUUGGACAAUUGCAAAAAUUCCAGUAAAUAAUCAUGUCCAUCAUAUCCUAAGCCCACAGCUUGCUGCAUUUGCAUAAUUUGCAUUUGCAUGAUUUGUAGGGUAACUAUUUGUAAGAGUAUUGUGUUAAAUAAUUUCUAUGCUCUAAGAUAUUUGCACAUCUUUAAAUAGUUUCUCACAUUUGCACAUAGAAAUGGCGGACGACCCGUUCCAGAAUUGGAGGGAGCCUACCCCUCGCCACCGCAAAAGAAACGUCGAACCGAGGAAGACGUAGAUCCGACGUACAAUCCGGUGGAUGACAAAGCCCACAGUGCACAGAUCCCAGUUGUGCCUCGGGCGUUAGACUUUGGGUCCGGAGAAGAGAACAGACAUGAAGAAGGCCCCGCUCCCUCCACGACAACCUCAGAAUCCAAGCAGAAGCGGAGGAGGGGGCAACACGGGAGGCACCAAAGGGAGUUGACUGACGUGGUGCACGUGAUCCUUGAGGUGGGGCCAGAGGGAAACCCAGUGAGUCCGCAAGGGGUACUUGGCCGGUUCAGCAACCAAGUGUCCUGCAUAGUCAGAGAUAAGGUGUUGAUCACUUGGCCGAGCUGGCAUCAGGUCCCGAAAGACGUCAAGGGCAAUGUAUGGGGUGAGGUUACCCGGAAGUUCACUUAUCCCGAAGGCGCAGACAUGGAGAAGUGUUGUGAGUGGGCCAUGCACGUGGCGUCCUGUGCCUUUCGCAACUUCAAGUCGAUGCUGGCACGAGACUUUCUAAAGAAGAAGAAGUCACCAUGCGAGAAAUACACUAUGGUGAAGGAGCAUGUGUGGGAAGAAUUCUGCCGAAUGAGGACGACUGCUGAAGCAGAGGCAAAGAGCGCCAAGUUCAGUGCUCUGGCGAAACAAAACAAGUAUCCCCACCACUUGGGCAUGAUUGGCUAUGUCGGACAUAGGGCUCGAUGGCAGGCAGAAGAACAGGCUAGACAGGCUGCUGGGAUUCCUGAUCCAUACGAAGACGUCGAUGUUAGAGCUAAGGAGUUCAUGUAUGCCCGUGUUCUAAAGAAGCUAAAGCCAGGCGCGACCAAGUACAACAAGCCGCAAUAUGAGGAGUUGGAGAAGGCUCUCGUCCAGGCCGCCAAAUCUAAGGACAACAUCGAGGUCCGUAGGGGCCAUGACUUGCUGACCGAGGUCCUCGGAACCCCUGAGCAUCGCGGCCGUGUUCGUGGAGUCCAGUGCAAGAUGAGCUAGAAGUUGGUCGAGUCGUGGCAGGCCGACGCAUCCGCAUACAAGUCCAGGCAGAAGUACAAGGACACGUUGUAUCAGAAAGGCUUCGAAGAAGGCAUGGCUGAGGUGAUCAAACACUCAAUAAAAGAAGCCUUCACGAGCAAUGAGCCUAAAAUGGUGGCGAUGAGGUCACAGAUGUUUCGCGAGGCUGGCCUGGCCACGGCUCCACUUCAACAACCGCAAGGGCUGCCGAUGAUCGAGGGUCAACCAAUGCACUGGACCGAGGACGUCCAGAAAGACACACACGUCCAGCUCUUGAUCCCGUUCGGAAGAUCCAAGAAGAUGUAUAUAGCUGAGGGAAUGCUACAUCCCAAAAGCAUAGAUUUCAGCCCAGAGGAAAUCCCAAAAGGCUAUGUGGUUGUGACCCCACUCUGGAAUGUGCCAGAGCAAGAAGAGUAUGAAUUGGACCUUCCAAACAUCCAGCACGUCAGAUUUCUUAGGCAGGCCAUUGGUCAUGAAGUUCUAUGGAACAAGGAAGACAUUGAGAUCAUUCCACCGACACCAACUCCGACACCGACACCAGGAUCGCAGCCAUCAACUGUCGGAUCACAACGAUCAGUGGCUGGAUCUUGUCCCCCAGAUGAUCCUGAUGGUAGUGACGAUGAUGCUGAAGGCAAUGGCGAGGACAAGGGCAAAGGACAAGGCGAUGGCCAUGGCCAUGGCCAGGACAAGGAGAAGGCACAAGACAAGGACGAUGGCGGAGAUAAGGAGAAGGCACACAUAGAUGAGGGUGACAAAGACAUGGGUGCAACCUGUGCCCCUCCUCCAAAUAGUCCGCCUCGGAGCCCAAGAAGACAACAAGAAGGAGGCAUGGAGGAGGCAACAAGGACUAAGACACCACCGCCAACAUCUACUCCUACGCUUGAAGCUCCUCCUCCACCGAGCAAGAAUGCAGGCAGGACCGCCACAGUACUCCCGUACACUACUACGUCUGAAAGGUAUGAGACAAACAAACAUAAUAUUCUCGUAACCUUUCUAACACAUAAAAUGGUAAUAACAUUUGUAAGUAUGUUUUGCCAGGCCUACAAAUACUCUCCAAAUCAAUCUAUUUCCCGAGGCGGAAGACUGUCCUGGCCACUAUGAGCUUGGAAAGUUCAUGCUACCUAAGGCCCAGCUCAUCGACGAUGAAAAGUGGGAUACAAGGAAGUUCCACCUGUGGUAUAUGGAAGCGGCAAAAGCCGGGAUGACAGGUUUCACCAUCAAGAUUCCCUCGGAGUUGUUCCACUUGCCCGGUGCAGAUAUUCAGCUGCCUGUGGACUUCCAGGACAUGUACAAUCUAUUGCGGGAAGAAGACCUUGACAUCGUCCAAAUCACCUUAUUCUCUCUGUAAGUGAUGAUUGCGACCUUCAUAGACCAAUCUCUACAUUUGUAUUGGAGAACUAUAUGAUUUUUCGGACACGAUGACUUGUCCGUGCAGGUUGACGGUCACUAUUAGCAACAAAAGGCACCAUCCUAUCCUAUACCUCUCUCCAAUGCAUAUUGCUGAGAGAGUGAUCAAGGGUUUCCAGAUAACGGACCCAGAGUUGACCGUGCGGCAGAGGGAAAAGAAGUACGAAGAAAACAUGAAAGAGGAGAAGAAGAAAUUGUCAAGGUACAUCUUUGAGGUAAUGAAGAAGCUCAACCCGGAUGGGCCGCAUUGUAUUAUGGCUGCCUACCACUUUGGGUAAGUCGAAACAUCCAUGUAGAGCAAAAGUGGCUAGGGUCAUGCCUUCUCGUUGACAUAACCUAUACUUGUUUCAAUGGUGUAGAAAUGACCUAGCCGGCGGCCACUGGGUUGCCUUCCUCGUAUAUCCUCAAGAUGGCCGGGCUGUUAUAUUUGACUCGUUACAGGUACCGAACAAAAAGGGGUACAAGGCCUUCGAAGACUGCUUGAAAAAGUAAGCCACCGAGCUUCUUGAUCCUUUACGGUUAUCAUAUUCAAAUUGACGCUAACACUACUACACUUCGUGCAGCGCUUAUAGUGCAUAUCUCAAGGAUCCGCAAUGCUUGGAUCGGAGAACGGAGAAAUUCAAAAAGAGGCAUAAGCACCACCUCAAAAUCCGACGCGAUUUCCCCGUAAGUAUAUUUCAAAGGUAGUUUAAUUAUGCUUUUGGUAUAUAUGUGCUCUAAUGCUUUUGUAUCGAUCGUGCAGUGCGCCAAACAACCCUUGGGAUCAAAGGCAUGUGGCUUGUACACCUGCGAGAACCUAAGGGAAAGCAAGGAGUACACCAACAGCUGGAAGAAGCUCAAAGAAGCAGUGAAGAAUCGUGGAGAGACGAUGAAGAAUGAACGCCAAGCUUUUAAGCAAAUCAAGGCGGACAUCUGUAAGUUCAUCCUAGAGAAAUGCGUGCUCGAAGGCGAACCAUUCUUCGACAAUGAAGGUGAAUUGGCAGUUCGACCUGAGUUCGAGAAGCUUAGGAGAUGGGACACCAUGCUACGGCCGACGGAUUACACCCACGCAGUAGAAUUGUGAUGUGUAGCGGAUUCGUGGGUUUGUGUAUAUGUGGAUGAUGAGAACAACUAAGUGGAUUUAUAUAUUAUGUUGUGUCUUAUGUAUUGAACUUUCAGGCAUAUGUGUGUCUGUAUAUAUAUAUCUUCUGUUUCUAAAAUGAAAUCUACUUUCUGGAAUUUGUAAAUUGUUUAAAUUCAUAUUGAGCAAUGGUUCUGCAAUGUGUUUUUUUAUUUAAAAACACUUAACCGUGGCGGGCAACAUAAAGAGCCCGCUACGGUUAAUCUAUUAACCGUAGCGGGCGACGUAAAGAGCCCGCUGCGGUAAAUUGGAAUUAACCGUAGCGGGCGCUUUACGUUGCCCGCUACAGUUAAUCGAUUAACCGCAGCGGUCAGCGGCGCCCGCCACGGAAGUGGCCACGAUUUACCGUGGCCUUAUGGCCGUGGCGGACGCGUUUGCCCGCUACGGAAAAGGGAAAAUGGCCACCACGGUUAUUCUUUCUGCAGUAGUGACAAUCAAUUCCAUCAUAUGCCAUGUCCUGUUUUGAUCUUACUAAAUCUCUUUGUGAUGAGAUAGGCAAAAUGAUAUGUAGAUACUGGUGGGCGCAACAAGAUAAGGAGAAUAAAAUGCAUUGGGUCUCUUGGGAGGAAAUGUGUAGAAGGAAGGAGGAAGGUGGUCUUGGUUAUAGAGACCUUCAUCUUUUCAAUUUGGCUAUGUUAGCACGACAGGGUUGGAGAAUUUUGCAAAAUCCUGAUUCAUUAUGUGCGCAGCUGUUGAGAGCGAAGUAUGGCACAAAUGGCUCCUUGUUGCAGACUAGUGAAGGACCGGGUAUAUCCUAUACUUGGCGUAGUAUUGUCCGUGGACUCCAAGCAUUGCAAAAGGGACUGAUUUGGCGGAUUGGAGAUGGAAUGCAAAUUAAUAUUUGGGAAGAUCCAUGGAUAUCAAAUGGGAUUACCAGGAGGCCGAUUACACCUAGGGGUCAUACAAUAUUGACCUGGGUUGCUGACUUGCUGCAUCUGGACACGGGGAGAUGGGAUGAAGACCUGGUACGUGAUGUAUUCUGGGAGGAGGACGUGCGAUAUAUAUUCACAACACCAACCAAUCCAAAUCAUGAGGAUGUUUUAGCUUGGCAUUUUGACAAUAAAGGUCAGUUUUCGGUGAAGUCUGCCUAUCAUGUCUUGGAUGAUGAGAAGAAUCGGGAGAAAACUCGACAGCAAGGAGAGGGGAGUAGCAGCGCCAAUUCUGGGAACCAGAGAAACGCCAUUUGGCGCAAAAUUUGGAAACUUCCAUGCUAGCCCAAAGUGUGGCAUUUCCUUUGGAGAGUAGCGCGAAAUAGCCUUGCACUAAUGAUGAAUAUCCAGAGAAGGGGUGUGAAGCUCGACAUAAGAUGUCCAAUGUGUCAUCGAUUGGAUGAAGAUGGAGGGCAUUGUUUUCUAAAAUGCAAGCUGGUGAGACGAUGUUGGUCUUGCCUUUCACUUGAGCCGGUUCGUCAACAUCUAUUACUCAAGCAAUCGGCAUGGGAGGUGGUGACUGAAAUAUUGGCUUUGAAGGAAGAAGUCCAAAUCAAAACUGUGUUACUUCUCUAGAAGUGGUGGAGUGUGAGAAAUAAAAUUAACAAAGGAGAGAAGGGCCAGACUGGAGAGGAAGUUGCUGCUGAUGUGCUAAACUUGAUGUGUGAUCUGAGGGAGUUGGAGAUAAAGUCGGUACGGGAGGUGAUUAGGAGUGCUGGUUGGAAGGCUCCACCGCCUGGACAGCUCAAGAUCAAUUCAGAUGGAUCAUUUAUCCAGGAGACGUUACAAGGGAGCUGGGGCUUCAUUAUCCGUGACCAUGAGGGCGACGGGGUACUUGCAGGAGCUGGUCGCCUGGGAUCAAUCCCAGAUGCAUUGACAACAGAGGCAGCAACAUGUGCUCAGGCAUUGCAAGCAGCUACAGAUUAUGGUAUAUCGCACGUACAAGUGGAGGUGGACUCAACUGCUCUUCAGCAAGCUCUCCAAUCAUCGUCCAUGGAUCUUGUCACUUGUGGAAUGUUGCUCAUUGACACUCGUUCUUUGCUUUGUGAGCAUUUUGUAUGCGGUAAAAUUCUCUCUAUUCCUAGAGCUUGUAAUGGAUUAGCACAUAACUUAGCCAAGCUUGCUAUGUGUUGGGACCCGGGCAAUUACCAUGUUUGGGCAAGCCCCCUCCCAGAAUUUGUAAAAUCUUUGAUUGCUCACGAUGGCGUCGAGCCUAUGUUUUUAAUGACAGGGCCAUAGAGCCAGGUUAUGAAUAAAAAAAAGAAACAAUUCACAGUGGCAUUCACCAAUGUUAAUUUCCAUUGGUUAAGCUGUGCUAUAACGAUUCAUAGAGUCACCCGAUCCCACUCCAUACAAUGAACUUAACACCCAUAACCUACUGCAAACGAAUCAUGUCACUGACAGUGUUACCUCACAAGAGCCAAACAAUCAAAUUGUUUGAUAACUUUUUUCAGGGUACCACAACACUCAUUUCGUUCCAUUUAUGUUUGCAUUGGCACUUCACUUACCAAACAACACCGUAAUAUCUAUCCCAGUUGAUCAUAGCAAAUUCCUAAAGUUAUGAUCGAUACAUGUGGAUCUAAAUCAUUUUCAAGUAAAACCAUCGACGAACGAGCCAUAGUGAGACUUAACGAGAAAAGCUCAAUUGUUCCAAUAGUACAAAAAGAUGUUCUCAAUUUGGAUAGAACAAGUUUUUAAGAGUUCUUUGGAAUUAUGUGAUGAUACCACAAAAAAUGGCACAUGGAAAUAGUAACUUUUAGUGGUAAGUCAUGAAAGCUAAGGGAAGGUGGGAGCAGAUAGUUACAAAUAGAAGAUCAUAAACAAGGGGAAAGUUUAAUUUCCUAACACAUCAGACAAAAGGAACCCCAUGGACAUAUUGAGAAUGUAAGCUCCAAGUAAGAAUAUCUGGCAUAAGGAGAGGACAAUAUGAUGAAACAAAGGAUAUGGAGAAGAAUUUGGAAGAUCGAUGAGGCCAAGGUCCAUAAAUUUAAUGACAUCGAAUGUGAAGUACAGGAAUGGUAUAUGUAUUGCUACAAUGCUACACCUAGUUAUGAAUUGUGGCAUAUAAAAAACACUCAUGUAUGGUCCAUCUAGCGUGGUGCUUCCCUAUAGGUAGAGUUUUUGUCUUCCCCUAAAAUGUAGUACUGGUGAACUGGUGGCCGAUCAACAUGGAUCAUUAAGAAUGUUGUAGACGAUGUUGUAGUGAAAGCUUUGCAUAUCGAGGCCUUAGGGGUUGUACUUGAUACCUUCUAGUUGAGUCACGGAGGUGUCACAAAUUAAAAUAGGUAUGGUUAUUGUAAGUUUUUGGCUCAAAACUCAAGAGACUACACCUUGUGUACAUUUCUAAGCUAUUCCUCAAAGGAUCCAAGACCACAAGGGUAUGUUCCAUUAUGUGCUAUAGCGCAUCAAUCAUAUUUUUAGGAACAUAUAUAUAUAUAUAUAUAUAUAUAUAUAUAUAUAUAUAUAUAUAUAUAUAUAUAUAUAUAUAUAUAUAUAUAUAUAUAUAUAUAUAUAUAUAUAUAACGAUGCCAUAAAAUAGGAAAAAAUAGCAUGUUCAAGUUCUUGGAACAAUGAACAAAAGAUUUGUGAUGAACACCCACAUUCUUUUGCAAUAAGAUUCCUUUAACUCAAACCACAAGUAAUGAAGAACCAAGUGAAUGAAGAAUAAACAAAGGACAAUACAACAUAGAGUGAGUUGGAAAGGGUGCUUGGUGCACUCUACAAAAUUUCUUUUGCGUGGCCUUACCAUUUUUUGAUUGGAGGCGGGCACACCUCCCGACCACCUCCAUUGUUCCAAGCCAGGUCACCCUCCCAAAGGCCCCCUUGGUUAAACUUUAACGGAGGUAGUUCGUAUCCUCGAUUAACCAGGUGGUUGCAUAAUAACAACCACCUUCCAUUAAUCCAUUAACAAAGGUGGUUGUCUUAAGGUGUCUGUUUCUGUUAAUGAAUUAACGGAGGUGGUCAUUAUAAAAUAACCACCUCCAUUAAUGAAUUCAUGUGUACCAUGUCAAUGAUCCAUUAGCAAGGCUGGUGGCCACUCGUAGCCUUCCACGUGUUUGAGGGGUCCACUCGUCAUAGGCACAAAAGAAGCACAAACCAAAGGAGGCGGUGACACACGGUCUCUCUCUCUCUAUGAGCCAUGGCCUAUCUCUUUCUCAUGCCUUCCUCUGCUCCCUCACUGCUCCUUCUCUCUAUGUGGCAACGAAGCCGGCGGCCACAAAGGCCUCCCUCUCUAUUCCCUCUCUCUCUCUCUACAUGGCAACGAUGAUUGCAGUGAGGAGGAGACAAGCCGGAUCCGGUGGAGGGCAGCCAGAUUUGAUGGAGGCUAGCCCGAUCAGGUGAAGGAAAGCGCCGACGUCGCCGAUGGGCAGGUACAGUCUCCUCAUCUCUCUCUAUCUUCCUCUCUUUAUCUCCCUCACUCACUCUUCCCUCUCCCCUUUUGCAGAUCUAGUGCUGGCUGGAGCCGCACAGACGAUAGCGGCGAUAGGUGGAACCCUAGGAACCGGCACGAGCGAGGACGACUGAGGUGGCAAGAAAGAGGACGGUGGCACAUGAGCGACCUUCACGAUGUCGACGGUAGCCGUCACAGACCAUGGAAAGGAUGACUUAGAUGAUGGAGGCUCCAGAAACUGAAGCUAGCUAGCUCCAGGACCUAGAUUUUUUUAUUUUUUUGUUAACCGUGGCGGGCCUAGUCUUGUGACCGCCUCCAUUAAAGACCUAUUAAUAGAGGCGGUUGCCUUAUAGCGCCAGCCUCUAUUAAUGUUUUAAUAGAGGGGGGCAGGGGCAACCGCCUCCAUUAAGUCAUAAUUAACCGUGACCUAUCGUUGGAGACGAUUGCCCCAGCCCGCCUCCAUUAACGAAAAACAACCGCCUCCAAUAAAAAAAAUCUCUAGUAGUGGUGUAUACUUCUGUUGGAUAUAUUUGAUCUAGUGUGCUAAUAAUAUAUUUGUUAGUGACUUCUAUGUAUACCUAUUACAAGUUAUUUUGCAUGUUAUAUGUAUCAAAAGUUCCAAACAAUAGUUCAUAGGCACAUGUCAUUUUCAUUUAUCUAGCAGUUUAAGAAUUAAAUACAAAACCCUAUCACUUUCAUUCUAAUUCAUUUUCAUUAUUUGCAAAGGUGUAAUUCUCUUAAGGGACAACAACAUGUGUAUUAGGUGCUCAAUUAGAUCUAACAAAAUCUCGAUGCUGUUUUUGGGUGUGACAUGUGGUUGCAGGGACAAGAUGGUUCAAGCUUUGUCAGUUUCCCCGAGUAAAUAUUUAUGUCAUUCUAAAAAUGGCGAGUUAGUUUACAUCAAAGGUUUUAGAACACGUAUGAUGAUAUGCGGCAUUGGAGAGCAAUAAGUGCACCUUAUUGUUGCCCAAACAUAGUUCAUCUACUUGCAUGAAUGUUGUUCUCACAUGUACAAUAAUAUAAUUGCACAUUAAGUGGCCAAAGAUCAAUUUAGGUGUUGGUCUUUGUGUGUGCAUAAUUCCGAUAAUUCUAUCUACAUGAACAAUUGUCAUACAAAGUCAGGUUAAUUUAUCUAAUGACAAUGAAUUUAAAUUUUUUUUAUAUUUCCAUGAUAGAAAUAGUGUUUUUAAACUGUUAUAUAUAAUUCAAAGUGAACAUUACAACUAAGAUUACCAUCAAUCCCACUAUGCAUAGUCGCAUGGCUGGUCCCACCUAACACAACACACAAUUUUGGAUAUUAUACCAACAUGAUGAUGUUUGUGUGUGUGGUAAUGCUCAAUUAAUCAAGCAUCACACUAUAAGGACGAUUUAUAUCUUCUUACUCUCAAUCUUAGGGCAAAAUAAUUAUCGGGCACAUUUGGAGACUAGUAACACAUUAGAAUCUAGAAAUAUAUAAUUUAUUAUUUCUGAGAAGCCUCAGACAUCAGCCUAAAAACUUCAUUAUUGAAUUACAACUAGUAAGCAAUCUAAAAGAGGGCACCACCAAUGAAGGGUUGUUGGCAGGACGUUGCUGGGUUCGCCAGAGCAAGCUGGAUGAAUGGCAACAACUGUUGUUGUUGAAAGAGGGUGGCGGCAUUAGCCACACCCUGCGGGUAGAACGGCAGCAGCUGUUGUUGUGGCCAGAAGGUGGCAGGACUCACAGCACCUAGCUGGCUGAAUUGUAGUAGUAGUUGUAGCUGCAAAUAGGCAGCAGGGUUCACUGCAGCUAGUUGGUUGAAUGGGAGCAACUGUUGUAGUUGUAAGAGGGUGGCGGCGUUAGCCACACCCUGCGGGUAGAACGGCAGCAGCUGUUGUUGUGGCCAGAAGGCGGCAGGGCUCGCAGCAGCUAGCUGGCUGAAUUGUUGUAGUUGUUGCAGCUGCAAAUAGGCAGCGGGGUUCACUGCAGCCAGUUGGCUGAAUGGAAUAAACUGCUGUUGCUGGGAGUACGCAGCAAGGUUUGCCAACGUUACUUGGUUGAUCGAAGGUAGCACCAGUUGCUGCAGUUGUUGUGCCCUGAUGCUUUGUGCCAACAAAUUCACCAAGGACAACUGCUGCAAUAGGGCCGAUGGUUGUUGGAUGAACAAGGGUGAUGACUGUAAGAUGCUUGCUGCGAUUGCCUGUUGGAGCCCAUAGGGUUGUAGCAUUGGGUUUGCGCACACUGGUGGGAGGUAUGCGGGAUGAGGGGCAGCUAUAGAAAUUUGUGAGCAGUGCGGUUGCGGGAUAUAGGUCGCGGUAGCAGCACUUGCAAAAAGAGCAAGGAGCAUAAUGAGGGAAAAUAUCUUGGCCGCCAUUGUUGCUAUGUUGCUAGUGUAUUCCACUUUCUAUGUUGCUAGUUGGUCUCAAUAAUAUGGGUGAUGGAUUACCUACUGAUCUGGGGGGUAUUUAUACUCAUGUUAAGCCUUGUGGUUGUGCAAGAUUUAUUUUGGCUUUUACCAAAAAACAUAAUAGUAAGAUAAGCUAGAGAUGACGUGGUAUCUAGUUGGUUUUGACAUUUAGUUGCCACUUUGUUGGGUUAUACUUUAUACAUCUGCAAUACAAUCUCCACAAAAUACACUAAAUAAGUGGUUUUGUCCUCUUGGUAUUUUCCAAAUACUUGGGUGACAAUGGCUCGAUCCAUUCACCUUUACACAUGUGUAGCCUUAGCCACAUAUGUGCGGCUUGGUUAGGCUAUUUUGCACCAGAAAAAAAAUUCAUGGUGGUAUUCACCAAUGUUAAUUUGCAUUUGGUUAUUUUGUGCUAUAAUCGGUUCAAGGAGUCACUCGUUCCAUGUCGUACAAUGCGGUUACCACCCAUAACCUACCACAAAUGGAUCAUGUCAACGGCAGUGUUACCUCACAAGAACCAAACAAUCAAAGUAUUUGGGGAACAACAAUAUUCAUUUCCAUUUCACUUUUAUUGACACUCCACUAACCAAACAACACCAUAAUAUCUAUUCCACUUGAUUAUAGUCAAUACCUAAAGAUUGACAAAUACCUAAGUCAUUUUCAACUAACACUAUUACAGAAAGAUCAGCACAACCAGUUUGGAAACCUGCAUCGCCGCCACUUCCAGCACUCGGCAGUGAAUUAUCGACAGUGAUGGCCAUGGUAAUCAUGUCCAGUUAGUAAUUAGUGGUGGUUAUAUGCUAUCACCACCAUUUUGGAGUUCAAUCUAGCUGCGAUAACAUCAAUAUCAUCGCUGAGUUUAUUUUUUGUUCAGGCGUUGAAGAUCCUACAAAUGUUGUCGGGUUUAUAACAAAAUCCAACAAUGAUGGUCAUUUGGUCACCAUCGGUCAGUUGUACACACCGGCAAUGUUGAGAGUUCCUACACCACUGAUCAGUGCUGCAGUCUAUAUAUGACAAGCGUUGAUCACCACAGGUCAGUGGUCACUGUCGGCAGUGAUGAUCAAUUGAUCGACAUCUGUUCAAUUCAUACCCGAUGAUGAUCACUACUACAUCACCAAUGGUAGCUUGAGCUGGUGUCGAUGGCCUUCAUUGAUGGAAUGAUAUUGCAUCUGUGUUUUCACAUUUAUGAAAAAUUCUACUUAAUUAACUCCCUCAACUAUUGUGUGUUAUAUAUCGUGCAGUGUUUGAAGCAACCUUGAUAGGGAGUGCUAUAUGUCUAUUUAUGUUUUAACUUUGUAUGAAUUUUAAGACCCCUAAUUUAUGUUAGGAUAACCAUGUCAUAUAUAAUAUAUAAGUUAACAUUGGUUAUAAUAUGAUAGUGUACAAUAUAAUUAAACUUGUGUCAAAUUAAAUUUGAAAAUACAACAUUGAUAGACUUUUUUCUUCCACUGCAAAGCAAAGGAAUACUUAGAUGUAAAUAUAUCGUAACUAUAAAAAAUGUAUUGUCAGUUAUGAGAUUUGCAUCAAGUAUAGAGGGUCUUGAGUAAUGCUAAUACUAAUAUUAGUAUUAGUUAUAGAUAUAGACAAAUUAAUAAUAAUUAAUUAUAUUAAUUAUUACAUACAGGUUAGAUCCAAAUUUUAUCCUGUUGACGCCAUUUUUGGUAACGAGUCAAGGUAAUCAAAAUGGACCUAUUGGCAGUAAAGAGAUUAUUGCAUUAUGCCGAUAGGAGAGGUGCCGAUGAAGAUCGGCUGAUAGAGAUUGUUGCCGAUGGAAGGUCAUGAUCGGUGGAAAGGUUGUCUUUUAAAUUGAAUUAAAGAGUGUUGAUCAGAGAUGGUGUUUGCCAAUGUCGAUUCAGGGGUCAUUGCCGAUGAAGCCUGUAAUGAUUCAUUGCCGAUGUCGAUGAAGGAGGACAUGAAGACUGCUGCUGAUGAAGCUUGAAAUAACAGGGAACAUGCCGAUGGAGCAGGAGCCGAUGGAGAUUUCAUCGUGAUUGAGGCGGACACGAGAGUAGAUAGAUGUUAUUUUCUAUUUUUUAUAUUUGUUAGGGUAUACCUUACGUAAGAAUCCUGUUUUAUCUUAAAGUCGGAUCCUAGUCGUGUUUGGUUGUAUCUCUUUAGGACAGGGUAUAAAUAUAGACCAGAGGGCAAUGUAAUGAGACAAUCAAUCAAUAUCAAAUCCAAGUUUACUCCUACUUUUGCAUGUACUUACUUUUCGACGACUUCGUCAAUUCACAUAUUUUCUUUUUACGAGUUCUCUUGGUUCGGCGAGUUGCAUUGUUCUAGCGCAAAUCUCGACGAUCCUCGAGUUCCGUGUGAGUACCUCUUGACCGUGACUUUCGGGCGCAUCACUGUUGUCGGGACCAAAGUACUUGAGUUAGACCAAAGUACUUGAGUUAUCAUCCUUAUCGAUUAACAGGUCAAAUCGACUGACACGUCUAGGAUAUCGGAUUGGGUUUUGUGUUUGCAGAUUCACUUUUGCAUCAACAGAUCCCAUUUUCUUCCACAUGUUUUGCAAUCCAUCUUCGGUCUUUUUUCGAUCAUACUUUGGUUGUCAGCAGGACGUGAGUUCGAGUCAUACACGGGAUAAUUAAACCAAUUAUAACUCUAAUCUCUAGUAUAGUUAAACCAACUAGGACUAGUAUAUUCUGAAAAGUGGAAGGACACACAAUAGGAAGAGAAUGUGACAGACGACCAAAAUUUUGUAGAAAACUUUUUCACUCCUUAUAUUAGAUCUCUGUUCCAAACGCUAUGCUAUAAGGUUGGCUCGGGAAUGUAAUCUCCUAGUCUUGUAGGUAGAUUUGUGGCAUGGUGGACACUGCCCCAUAGAGCCCCCACGGCCCACAGAACACAGACACCAGCUUGCCGCAUUCUAUUAAGAUUCCUUGACGCUCGGGAGUAGACAUAGUACAUGAUUAGACCUUAAUAUUCUCACCAAUGUUAAUUUCUGUUUGCUUAAUUUGUGCUAUAGUCAGUUGAAGGAGUCACUCGUUCCUGUGCCAUUCGUUCCUAUGCCAUACAAUGCGAUUACCACCUGCAACCUACCACAAAUGGAUCAUGUCGACGGUAAUGUUAACUCACAAGAACAAAACAAUCAAAGUAUUUCUAAAAAUGGUGAGUUAUUUUACAUCAAAGGUCUGCACUGGAGAGCAAUAAGUGCACCUUAUUGUUGGAAAAAAAGUUCCAUCUACUUGCAUGAAUGCUGUUCUCACAUGUACUAUAAUAGAAUUACAUAUUAGUGGCCAAUGAUCAAUUUAGGCAUUGGUCUUUGUAUGUGCACAAUUCCCAUAAUUCUAUCUACAUGAGCAGUUGUCAUACAAAUUAAGUCAGGUUAAUUUUUCUAAUGCUGAUGAAUUUAAAGUUUUUUAUAUUUCCAUGAUAGAAAUAGUGUUUUUGAUACUUUUUUCUAUAAUUCAAAGCCAAUAUUACAAUUAAGAUUACCAUCAAUCCCACUAUGCACAUUCGGAAUGGCUAGUCCCACAUAACACAGUAUGCAUUUUUGCAAGAUUAUACCAACAUGAUGAUGUUUAUGUGUGGUAAUGCUCAAUUAAUCAAGCAUCACACUAUAAGGUUGAUUUAUAUCUCCUUACUCUCAAUCUUAGUGCAAAAUAAUUAUCGAACACACCAGGAGACAAGUAAGACAUUAGAAUACGGAAGCAUAAUUUAUUAUUUCUGAGAAGCCUCAGACAUGAUAGCCUAAAAACUUCAUUAUUGAACUACAACUAGUAAGAAAUCUAAAAGAGGGCACCACCAAUGAAGGGCUGUUGGCAGGACGUUGCUGGGUUCGCCAGAGCAAGCUGGAUGAAUGGCAGCAACUGUUGUUGCUGAAAGAGGGUGGCGGCAUUAGCCACACCCUGCGGGUAGAAUCGCAGUAGCUGUUGUUGUGGCCAGAAGGUGGCAGGACUCACAGCACCUAGCCGGCUGAAUUGUAGUAGUUGUUGCAGCUGCAAAUAAGCAGCAGGGUUCACUGCAGCCAGUUGGUUGAAUGAGAGCAACUGUUGUAGUUGUAAGAGGGUGGCGGCGUUAGCCACACCCUGCGGGUAGAACGGCAACAGCUGUUGUUGUGGCCAGAAGGCGGCAGGGCUCGCAGCAGCUAGCUGGCUGAAUUGUUGUAGUUGUUGCAGCUGCAAAUAGGCAGCGGGGUUCACUGCAGCCAGUUGGCUGAAUGGAAUAAACUGCUGUUGCUGGGAGUACGCAGCAAGGUUUGCCACCGUUACUUGGUGGAUCGAAGGUAGCACCAGUUGCUGCAGUUGUUGUGCCCUGAUGCUUUGUGCCAACAAAUUCACCAAGGACAACUGCUGCAAUAGGGCCGAUGGUUGUUGGAUGAACAAGGGUGAUGACUGUAAGAUGCUUGCUGCGAUUGCCUGUUGGAGCCCAUAGGGUUGUAGCAUUGGGUUUGCGCACACUGGUGGGAGGUAUGCGGGAUGAGGGGCAGCUAUAGAAAUUUGUGAGCAGUGCGGUUGCGGGAUAUAGGUCGCGGUAGCAGCACUUGCAAAAAGAGCAAGGAGCAUAACGAGGGAAAAUAUCUUGGCCGCCAUUGUUGCUAUGUUGCUAGUGUAUUCCACUUUCUAGGUUGCUAGUUGGUCUCAAUAAUAUGGGUGAUGGAUUACCUACUGAUCUGGGGGGUAUUUAUACUCAUGUUAAGC